UAAAGAUGACGGUAAAGUCAAAAUAAAAAAUAAUUUUUAAUAGCAUAAUAUUAAAAUGAGUGUAUACAUAAUAAAAAAACUAUUAAAUUAUGUCUAUAUUAAAUAAUAAUAUAUUAUAAAAUUAAUAAUAAUUAAAAGGUAUUAAAAUUAUAUAUAUUAAAUGAUAAUUAAUAUUAUAUUUAUAUUAAAACGAUAUAAUAAAAAUAAUAGUAGUAAUCAAUAAAAAGAAAAAGAAUGUGACCCAUUAAAAUAUAUAGAUUGCACAACCAAAUUCUAAUACAAUAUCAUUUGAUAUUGAUUAAAAUAUAUCGUUAGUCCCUGGACUUUGACAAAUUUAAAAUUUAAUUUUCAUAUUUUUUGGUGAUUUGAAUAUUUCAGUCCAAUAAUUAAAAUUAUAAAUAUUCUUUUUUUUUAUUAAAAUUCGUUGUUUUAGAAUUCUGAUUAGGUUGUCUUUAUAUAGCGUGACAUAUAAUUGACAAAAAAUAAACAUGUUGAGUUGACAAAUAAUGAUAGAAGCAACCAUUGACGAUAAUGAUUGGAUUAGAAUUUUUAAAUUUAAAAAAGUAGGAGGAUUUCAUCUUUUUUAACUUUUAAAAUAUAGGGACUAAAUCUCAAAUUUUAUUAAAGUACGAAGAUUAAUAGUAGAUUUUAACCUUUGAUAUUUCAUAUAGUUAUAACCAUUAAAUUUUUAUAUGACAAUAGUUUAUCGUGUAUUUUCAUGCUUUGUUGAGUUUUUGUAUUUUGAUAUUUUGUUAGGUUGUAUUGUUUUUAUAGCAUCUCACAUUUAAGCUUCAUUUAGAUGAACGGUGAGAUUAAAAAGAGCAGUGGCAAUGAAAUUAAUUAUUGUAAUAGUGAGAGUAAUAAAAGCAAAAUUAGAAGUUUUGUUUAGGGGUUGAAAUAAAAUUAUAAAAUUUUGAAAGCUAAAGUUAAAAAUAUUAUAUUAAAAAUACUUAAAUUAAAUUAUUUAUUUUUUAGAAGGAUUAAAAUUUAAAAUUUUUAUUUAACUAAAGGAUUAAAAUGCUUAAAUUUAAUGCUUUCCUUAUAGGAGAUUAUUAUAUUGCACUUCUACCAUUUGGUAAGGGGAGCUAAGGCCUUGCCUUCCUCCAACGAUGUCUCUAGAUAGUGGUUAUUAUAAUGGUGAUAGGAUAUAUGUUUAGAUUUAAACACAGCGAUGACAAUGAGAAUAAACUAGAAAAUAAUCAUUAAAGAUAUUAAAUUAUAAUAUAUAUAAAUUAUAUUUAUGUUAAAUCAUAAUUAAAUAAUAUUAAAAGUAUUAUUAUAUUACAAUUAUAUGAUAUAAAAUAAUAAUUAAAUUCAUUUUUAUAUUAAAAAUAAAAUAAACAAAUAAUUAAAAUAAUAAUGAUGGAUGGGCUAGAAGAGUAAUUUUCCGCACCUCAAUGCAGGUGUGCCAAAUACACCCAUAAAUUGUGAUGCAUUUCAGUGAAUGGCAAUUUUAUUUUGGGAUGUUAUAUAAAUUUUAUUAGAUCAAUCAUCUAUCUCCGUUACGAGGUAAUUUAGUCGAUUGAGUCUUAAUUUAAUUGGCGUUGGUAUUAUUGUUAUUGUAGGAGGAUUUAGGUUCGAGUACGUCGUAGCACAUUAUCCUUCUAUUUAAGGAUUUAGAGGAGUUAUAGGUUGUUCUAGACAUUCUAUCAAAAAAAAAUACGAUAAAAACUUAUAACGAGUUUAAUAUUAAAAAAAUAAUUUUAAUACGUUAAUAAUUCCUUAGUUAUCUUAUUCAUAAUCGCAUUUAAAUUAAUGCAUUUUAUAAGUUUUGGUAUACUUUUGUAUAUUUUAUCACAAUAAUUAUUCGGUACACAAGUAGAAGAGCGGAUUGAGAUUAUGUCGCAUGUCUUAUUUAUUUAUUUAUUAAUUUUUUAAAUAUCUCUACCCUUACUUAUGAAGUUAAAUUAUUUUAGGUAUUCCAUAUAUAUAUAUAUAUUUAUAUUUAUACGUUAAUGUAUUAAUAUAUUAAUAUUUUGUAUUAUAUGAUCUUUUAGAUAUUUGUAUUUAAUAACUCACACAAUGUUUGUGCCGUGGUCUACUUCUUGUAGUGUUUAAUAUUUUUAGGUCUAGUUUUCUCCAAAUGUUUAUUUUGCUCCUCCUACCUAAGACAGUUUAUUUUAUCAUUUAAAAGCAUUAAAAUAUUAAUAAUAUUUAUAUUUUAAUACAUUAUAAUGUUAGAAUUAGAUUUAAAUAAAAUAUAUAUUUUAAAAAAAUUAAUGGCCAUCCUCAUUGAUUUCUUAGCAAGUUUAAUUUAACAUUAAAAAAUAUUAUUUAUUAUCGUAUUAAGUACUUACAAUCACUCCAAAUAUGUCGUAUUUGAGUUGUGGCAGAACUAAUUGUUAACAUGUCAUAAUGUUCUAUUGACACUGAAAUUAAACUUUUGUUGUGUUGAUAAGGUUUGUCUUUCACCAUAUACAAUAAGUGUUUGUUGUUGUUUUUUCGAAUUGUAUGAUCUCAUGGAAUCAGUUAAUGAAUUUCCAUCUCUUUUUUCUCUCAAUAAAACUUUAAUUUAAUGGCAAGAUUGAAAAUUUAGAAACUUUUAAGAUUCCAACUUUGAAUUUCAACUUAUUUUAUAUUUUAUUUAAAUAUAUUAUUUGUAAUUGCAAAUGAAUUAUUGAGUUGGGAUCAAUUUAAUUUCUUUCCAUUUAAAUUCAAAUUGAAUAACAAAUAUAUAUAAAUAUCAAUAGCGUAAACUAUAAAAAUAGUUACUUUUGUUUACCUUAGAGUACAUUUUAAUUACUUAUGUUUGAAAUGUUAUGUUUCAGUCACUUACAUUAUUGUUUUGUUAUGAAGUGAUCACUUUACCGUUAAACUCCAUUACCUCCCUGACGACAGUGCUACGUGAUAGUCUAAAUGAAUUUUAAAUGCCAACUUGGAUGUCUAGUUGUUGGGAUGAGAGAAGGUUUUUAAUUAAAUAAAUUUAAUUUAAACUACCACGUAAGACUGCCGUUAGGGAAAUAAGGGAGCUUAAGACCACUUGAUAACAAAACGAUAACGUAAGUGACUAAAACGUAACAUUUCAAAUAUAAGGGACUAAAAUAUAAUCUGAAGCAAACAAAAGUGACUAUUUUUGUAGUUUACCCAUAUCAAUAUAAUAUAAAAAAAAUUAAGAAAUAAAUGAAUGUGAUUAGAUUUUAAUUUCAGAAACAGAAAUGGAUAUGGUUUUGCAUUGAUUUAAGAUUUACUAAAAAGGAAAAGAAAGCAAAGAGUUAAAAGGGGUUCUUUUUGAAAGAUGAUGAAUUAAUUAGGCAGAAGCUUAUUAUAGUGAUGGAGAAAACCAAAAUGUAAAAUUUUUUAAAGCAUUUUCUUAAUUUGGCACCAACAAAUCACAGCAGUUGAAUUCAACGGUCAGUCCUUUUCUCGGAAAUUAAGUACUUUCCAUUUCCUCCUUUUUCCUUUCAUUUUCUUCCUUGUUCUUCCUCUCUCCUUCCCUCCCUCCCUCCUCAUCAUUGCCAAUCUCAAUUCUCCAUAAGGUAUUUUUUUUUAUUUUGGUAUUGGAUUGAAGCUUUUCAUUAUGAACAAUAUCUGGAAUUGUAUUUAAAUGUUCUUCUUAAUAUCGGGUUUUGGAUGAUAAAGCUGUUUUCAAUGGAUCUCAUAACUGGGUCUGGUUUUAAAUUCCAUGUGGGGUUUUUUUUUUAUUAAUAUUAAUGGGUUAGGUUUUAGGUCUUUGAAUUUUAUUAAUAUUAAUUGGUUAGGUUGAUGAUGAUGAUCCCCCAAGCAUUACACUGCACAUGUGAAUUGAUUGUAGUUUACUAUUUUGAUUCAAUUCUGAACUGUCUCCAUGUCCUCUUCAAUUUUUUGUUAUUAAGAAAUUCACAUUUUUUUAAAGGAAUAUGUUUUUGAUAUGGUUGCAAAUUCUUACAUUUUCAGAAUGGGUUUUGUUUUCUUUUUAUCUUGAUUUGUGUUGAAUGACUCGAAGCAAGGAACACCAAAUUGGCGAUUGUUUCGUGUGUUCGAGCAUAUGCAUUUGUGUGUGUUUCUAAUUUUAGUUGUUUCUAUACAUUUUUGAUAGUUUAGGAAGUUUGCUUAGCACUGAAUUUGUUGUUUUUUUUCUUUUGUCAAGGUGGGGCUAUUGCUGACUUGAUUGAUUGUUUCUUUAUGGCGUAAUCGUAGCUUGCCGCAUUGAAUUGGGGAUGGGAUUGUCAGCUUUGUAUUGCAAGGUUAAGAACUACUUUAUGCAUCAAUUAAGGCUUUUUGAUGUUCAUCCAGUUAUGAACCUUGUGGUAUCCUAGAGCAAUUGUUGUGGAAAUGGCUACAAACAGUACUUCACACCUUAAAAGGAAUUUGAAGGGCUUUACAUCGGCCCUAAAAUCUGCUGCUUGUGAAUGUUUUCUGAUUGUUCUGCUGUUCUUUUAUGCUGCCUUCUCGUACCUGCUGACAAGAUUUGCACAUUACUGUGGAUUGCAAGCUCCUUGCAUUUUAUGCUCUCGGCUUGAUCAUGUUUUCAGAAAUGAAAAACCUGGAUACUAUUGGAAUCUAUUUUGCAGCAACCAUAGAUCAGAAGUUUCAUCGUUGGUUUCCUGCAACAUUCAUGGCAAGCUGGUUGAUGGUCGUGGUAUGUGUGACAAUUGUCUCUCAUCAGACAUUGAGGAAAACAAAUCCAACUCAGAUAUACAGAGGGUUUCCUUAGAAAAUUUGGGGUUUGAACCUGCAUGUUUUGGAAAUUGUGAUUCCCGGAGCUCGUUUUUCAACAGGGAUCUUUCCCCUGCUUCUAAAAGUACUAGGUUUUGUUUAUGUUGUGAUAAGCCAUGGACUCCAAGAUCGAAUGCCCAAGGAUUACCCCCCCUAAAAUCACGUGGCGUUGCAGUUGCAAAGGCAAACUUUUAUUUGCCACGCCGCUUAAGACAUCGAAAUGGUCUGAAGAAGUCAAAGGAUAAGUUUUCUGCUCCAGCAUUGACUCAUAUAGGAAACACUGGAAUUGAUACAUCGCCUCAUGCAGGAUUCACUGAGCUGAAGAUCACUUCUGAAUCGGAGUCUGAGAUUCCAUUUUCUGAUGAUGAGGUUAGCAAUUGUAUGGUUCUUGAUAUGAACGAGAGUAAGAAAGAAUCUCUAGUUCACUCUGCUCCGGAAACUCCAUCUAAAAGACUGUACAACAAUUUGGUUAAAAGGAAACAGCCUGAUUCUAGUGAGCCUCAUGAUUUUAGAUAUUUUUAUCCCAAUGUCCAUAGUGAGAAUUAUGUCUGUGACCGUAAAGGACAGCUGGCCGAUAAGAAAACCAAUUCUUCAGUUUUGCCGGAGCUUAUUUCUCUAGAUGAUAUUCCUGCAUCAUCCUGCCUUGUGGGAGUUCCAAGUUAUAGUGCUUCGUUACUGUCUGAUCUUAUUUCUCUAGUUGAUAAGCCCCCUUCAGUUAACGUUAUGGAAACUCCUCUUGAAGCAUCAUCGCGAAAGCGUAAGUUAUCUCCCUUUCUGUGUGCAUAUGUGUAUGCAUGUAAAUGUUGGUCUUAUCUUAUAUGGCUUAAUGUCUUAAAUUUGCAAUGGCAGAUGUUACUGGUGCAAGUAAAAAUGAAAAUAUUUCUAUCAACAUGACCGACAAAAGCUUGAAGUCGAUAAGCACAUCAGCUGGAGCUGGUUUCGAAACUGAUCAAGUUGUGGAUGAUACUGCUGUGGUACAUUCUGCGCAUGAGGAUCUAAAUGCUGUGAAUACAUCACCAGUUUAUGGUGAAGAAAAAGGUGCCUCUGUGUUUGUUACGGAAGAACCAAUGCUGAGAUAUAAUAAGGGUGUUAGCAAAUAUCCAUCAUUGUCGGUUCAGAAUUCUUCUGGAGAAGGGAUUGAUUUAUCAUUUAACAAUGUAGGUUCUGAGUUCCCAGAUGACGACGACGACUUUGAGACAACUGAUGAAUCCAAUCCUUAUGGGGUUCAGAGUUUUGAUAAUCUAUUUUCUGCGGAAAGAAGUGAAUUUGGUAGCUUUGGAGUUAACGAAGAUCAGUCAUUGGCAGUUCAGAAUUCUUCUGAAGAAGGGAUUCAUUUAAGUCCUGAGUUACAAGGUCAUAGUGAUGACUUUGAGACAACUAAUGAAUCCGAUCCUUAUGGGGUUCAGAGUUUUGAUAACCUACUCUAUACAGAAAGGAGUGAAUUUGAUAUCCUUGGACCUUUGAAUGAAAGCACUUUCAGUGAAAUUGAAGGUGAAGAUCCAGUCGAUAGGCUGAAGCGGCAAGUUGAGCAUUAUCAGAAGUGCAUGGAUGGAUUAUAUAAGGAAUUGGAGGAAGAAAGAAAUGCCUCCGCAAUAGCUGCUAAUCAGGCAAUGGCUAUGAUUACAAGGUUGCAAGAAGAGAAGUCAAACCUCCAGAUGGAGGGCCUGCAUUACCUAAGGAUGAUGGAAGAGCAGGCAGAAUACGAUGGAGAUGCCCUGGAUAAAGCCAAUGAUCUUCUGGCAGAAAGGGAGAAAGAACUACAAGAUCUGGAAGCAGAGCUUGAAUUUUACAGAUUAAACUUCACAGAUGAAACACAGAUAGAGAAUUUAACUGGGGCAAGCAUCAACUUAAGCAACGGGCAUGUUUCUACCAAGACUACGAGCACAUUUUCCGUAAAAGAUGAUCUGAAAUUUCCCUCGAACACAAUGUUUCCCGACAGUGAUAAUCCUGUAGCCAAAUCUGCAUGGUCAGAAUUCGAGGAUGAGAAGUUGUACAUUUCUGAACGUCUGCGAGAUUUGGAGAGGAAAGCUAGCAAGUUUGCUCGUCAUGGUACUUUGCCACACAUUUCCGAUAGGGAAAGCUUGGAUGAAGCAGCAAAUGGAGGCCAACAUCAGCAAGAGUCCCUUGAUGAAAGUGCUCCUUCGCAAGAAUUGUCAAAUACUUCAGUAAGUGAAGAUCGAGUGGUUAGUAAGGGAAACAGUCAUAUGGUUUCCAAUGGGCAGAAGGGUUCUGAGAAUUGUAAUGAAACUGGUUUGGCCAGUGUUGAAAAUGAAAUUUCUGACCUUAACGAGAAGCUGGAAGCACUUGUGGCUGACUAUAAAUUUCUUGAGAAUUCUCUAAAAUCUCUUCAAAUUGGAAAUGAAGGUUUACUUCUUAUUCAAGAGAUACUUCAUGAGUUACGAGAAUUGAGGAAACUGGGGAUAAGGAGGAGGAACAUGUCUGCGUCAUGAGCAUUAUGUUUAUCAUUUCAUGGUAAGCAUUCUUUUAUAAAUGUCUCUCCGAAGAAAAUAGUCUCUUCUUGGUGUAGAUCUUGCACAUUCAGUAUAAACUUUUUGCAUGCCUUGACUGACUGUUGCGGAAAUUGCUUUAUGCCUCUCGUUGAUUAACACUGCCUCAUGUUUGUUUUGUUUCAAGUAAAUUGCUACCAUCUCAAGCUGAUCAUUUCUUUUUGGUUUUGUAACAAUGAAUGCUGUAUGGUCAUGGAUCUGCAAGAUAUAAUUAGAUUAACUAUGAAUGGUGCCACAUGUGAAAUGUGAGUUUUGUAGGAUUAAGAAUAGAAAAUAGGAAGCAAUGAAGAUAGGUAUUUGAGAGAUAACUGGAAGUGACUGUACCUGCAUCCUAUUUACCAUCCAUAAGAAACCCGGGUUUUGCAUCAUCAUGCUCGAACGUGCAUCAGAUGUUCAUAAUAUAUGCCAUAUUUAUUCUGAGGUUCUUAUGUAACAGAAUGAACUUCUACCAUUGAUCAUGUUAUCAAACUCAAUUUCAAUUUAGUGCUAUGCUGCUUCAACUCUUAAUUUUUCUUGAAAUACCUAUGAUUGACAUUCACGUCCGACAAAUAUCUAGAUAUUGAUAUGGGAAUAUUGACUGUAUCCAACAUGCACUUAAACUCGAGUAAUGCAAACUUAAUGCCUUGCUCUGUUUAGUUAAUCAGUUUUUCUUUGUUUGACAUCCUAAACCUUUGGUUGUAUAAUCAUGAUCGACUACAUGACAUUUAUAUUUCAGGUGCAGUCAGAUUGAGGGUAAACUGAGAACCAUGAAGUUUGAUUCAAGAGUUGCAGGAUCUCAGCUUACCACGAAAUUGUGAAUAACCAAGAUCGGUUUUACAUGCUAGCCACCUAUGUUAUCCCCACUCUUUAUUUAUUUUAAAGUAUCCGUAUCCGACAUUUGUAUUUGAUAUAUAUUCGGGCAUGGAUAUGAGGUUUGUUCCUACAAUGAAAAAAAAAUUUAGAAAGUUGAGCUUACUCCCAUGUCCGACUAAGAGUAAUAUUGGUAGGUGGGAGUAAAAGUGUAAAAGUAAUUUUUUUUUAUUGCUUCGGCAAGGGUUACAUUUGUGGUAUUUUUUUGAAGCAGUGUGAAUAGGUUUCAAAGCGGGUGAUUUUUUGGUCUCAUUUACUUCCAUUGAUUUUUUUUUUUUUGAGGUUUGUUCACAUUUCAUAGUAAGCCAAUCCUACUUCAAUUGGAAAUUCAGAACUUCUCAAUAUAAAUAGUUUAUUAUUUUCACAACUUCUUGAUAUCUUGUGCUGUUUUGAUUCUUGAUUCUAUUCCUUUUGCUUGAUAUCUUUAGUACAUAGAUGUAAGGAGAAUAGAUUGUAUGAAAUUGUGAUUCCACGUCAUCUCAAUCCCUUUCUAUAGGAGAAUGAAAAAUAAAAUUUUUACUCCUGAUUUUAAGUUUUUUCCUCUUGGAAAAAAAAUUCAAAUCAACUAAAAAUGCCAAAAAUCAGAAGAAGAAAAUUUGAUUUGUUAUUCUUCUAUUGGAAAGGAAUAGCGAUGAUGUGGAAUCACAGUUUCAUGCAAUCCUUUCUCAAAUGUAAGAUGCUCUAUGUAUAUAAAAAUUGUUUAGAAAAGAUCCAACAUAUUUAUUUCCGGAGUGAGCAUAAUCCGAAUCGAUAUUAUUAUAAAUAAAUUUUCAACUACAACCAUUGUGCAAUGGUUUCAAAGAGAGAAGUCCUUGAAAUUGGUCACAUAGGUGGCUAAUCUCAGUCAAAACAAUCUCAAAGUAAACAAAACAGCAAAAGAGAAGUAGAAGAAACACAAGAAUUAGAACCACCAAAUGCUCAUUAAAAUGUAGGUUAAAUGAGUCAAAUAAAUCCCAACUUAAAGCACAUAAUUUGGCAUGAUUUUGGAAUUUAAUUAUAAUAAUAUUAGUAAAUUUUGUUUAUUUUAUGUCGUGAAGAUACUAAAAUUUAAGCUCAGUUUGUGCAAUUGCGCCGGAAAUAUUCAACUUGGCGUAGAGCACGGCGCCCUUGAGGAAAUUUGAGCAGCAAAAAAGAGACUUUCUUGAUCAAGUUAUCUACCAUGAUAUUUUUAAUAAUUAUUUGUUAAUUACGAAAUAAUAUUUGAUAUAUUGUUAGUAAAAUUUAAAAAUUUCACAAACAAGAUGAGUUAGACAAGUAUAAUAAAAAAAUUAAAAAUAAAUGUAUUAAAGAAAUGAAAAAAGUGGCAAUUUAUAAAUAUACUCGUGGAAUUAAAAAAUGCAUUAUCAGUGUAUCAAAUACUCACCAUUGAAUGAGGUGUUCUAGUUCAUUUAAAAUUAUUAUCUUUAUCUUUUAUUUUACGUUAAGAUUUUUUUAUUAUUUUAAUUAUUAUAUUUUUUUGGGUAAAUUAAAUAACUUUACGCACACUAUUAAGAUAACGUAUUAGCCCGUGUAACGCUAAUAUAGUCUGCUUGUACUAAAUCUUGUACAGAAUAAGAUUGAUCUUCAAAUACUUGGUAAAUUAUUAUAUUUUUUUAUUAUCUUUAUAGAAUGAAGUUGGAAUAAAACUCCUCUAUAAGAGAUAACUUUUGGCAAUAGUUAAAAAAGAACUGAAUAUGAAUUUUUCUUUUUUCUGUGUAAUAUUCUGAAGAAAUGAUUCGUUGAAAUAAUGAGUCACCAUUGAUAUCAACACAUCUGGGAUCGCCAAAUGUACAGGAGUUCCUCUAUUCAAUCCCUUUCCUUCUUGUUGCUGGAUAUCUCGUUCGUACACAUCUUCUCUUUGUUUCCCGAGCCUUAGUGAGUUACAGACAGAGUUCGAAAAGGUCAAAUCUUUGAUGAUUCCAUCAUACAUGAUUGAGUUGCGAAAACUUCUGGAUAAGUAUCUAGAAGAAAUACGGGGUUUUGCUUUUGACGACAACAUGCCAUGGGGUGGUGGUCUCGCUUAUGGGGUCAAAUCAAUACGUUUUAAAAAAGAAAUAUUUGAAUAUCAAUCUCAUCGAUGUCAUCAAUCUCAUAAGUAUCAUACCAAAUCUGAUCAAUCGAAUCAUUUUUUUAAGAAAUACGAGACAUCUAAGUCAUACAAGUAAAUAUAUCUAUUCAUUGAUAAGGAAAAGAAAAAACGUGAGCGGUGAUUAGAUUGAUGAGAAAAGAGAACAAUAAUCAUAGGUACUUCAAGUUUGUUGUAGAACAAUUUUAUUUAUGUUUUAUUAUUAUAUUUUAUAGCAGCAAUGAUCAUAAAGUAUGAGAUGCAUUUUUUAUUAAAUUACUUCUCUAUAACAGUUUACUAAAUUACUUUUGCAUUGUAGUCACUUGUCUUAAGUUUUAAUAAAAUUAAUUUUAUUCCUAAGUGAAAUAAAAAUAAUAAAUUUUGGUUAAUAUAUUAUUUCAAUAAAAUGUUUAAAUUUUAUAUAAAAAUGUAUUAAUCAUAUGUUAUUAAAUGAAGGCUAUCUUUAAUAAAUGGAAAUUAUUAUUGUAAAAUUUAUUAAAAAUAUAAUUUAAAUCUCAUCAAUUAUUAUAAAUUAUAUUUUUUAAAUUUGAGAAUUAAAAAAAAUUAAAUAUGAUCUAAAUCUCGAAUGUUAUUAUAGAUGUCUCGAAUGAAAUUAUAAGUGUAUAACAACUAUCACUCGAUAAUAUUCAAAAUUUUAAUAGGCAAAUAUUACUAUUAUAAAGAGAGUUAACUAUAAUUUUUUUCGAGAUUCUCUUAAUUAUGAAUUUUUUUUAGCGAAGAGUAGAUAGAAGCUCAUUCUUACUAGAAUUGUGAGGUUCAAAGUGUUCUUCAUUCUUUUCUUACAUAUAUGCUCAUUCUCUGUUUUAUAAGAAAGGUGCUCUUAGUAUCAUUUCAAGUAUGAUCUCUUAUUCGAUAUUUAAGAUAAUAAUCCGUUAAUUAGAGUAAUUAGAUCCGUAAUUAUCUCUUUAUUCUAAUAAAUAGAACAAGUUAGCAUAAUUCGAUUGAGAGAGUAACUGGGUUAUGUUAUGGGAGUGAGUUAUCUAAUUUAAAUAAACCGCACGGUUAGAUUUAUUAAUUAGAGUCAAAUCUUUCUAAUUAGUAAGGUGAUUAGUGAAUAAAUCAUCAUAAGGUCUCUUAUGCUUAUCCAUCUAUUUUGAUGGUACAAUAUAUCUCAUGGUAUAAUGUUAUAAUAUGUGGCACAUUUGAGCUUUAUAAUAUUGGAAUAAAUAUUAAAAUUAUACAUGAAUUUUAUUUUAAUGUGCAAUUUGAUAUAAGAACUUUCAUAUGAUGUAAUCAUAUACAUGAAAGUUUGUUAUCAAUAUGUAUGGUCUUGGACCAUCAAAAAUGAUUUUUCUUUUGAGUUUGGCUACUUUAUUAAUUCACUUACCUCUAUCACGUCAAUAUUAAUCACCACUGUCGGAAGUUUUGUUCUUAUUUAUAGUGACAAUUAUAUGUCUCAUGAUCAAGAAUAUUUGAGAUUUUUUUGCUUAUAUGAGUCUGUUCAACACUUCAAUGUUGGGAUUAGUUACUAGUUUGAAUUUGAUACAAAUUUAUGUUUUUGGGGAAUUAGUUGGAAUGUGUUCUUAUUUAUUAAUAGGUUUUUGGUUCACACGAUCUGUUGUGGCAAACGCUUGUAAAAAAAAGUUUGUAACUAAUAGAUAGGCGAUUUUGGUUUAUUAUUAGGAAUCUUAGGUUUUUAUUGGAUAAUGGGAAAGUCUCGAAUUUCAAGAUUUGUUCGAAAUAUUUAAUAACUUGAUUUAUAAUAAUGAGGUUCAUUUUUUAUUUGUUAAUUUAUGUGCCUCUUUAUUAUUUUCCGGCACAAUUUCCUCUUCAUGUAUGGUUAUAUUACCUGAGGCCAUGGAGGGGCUUACUCCUGUUUCGGCUCUUAUACAUGCUGCCACUAUGGUAGUUGCGGGAAUUUUUCUUGUAGCCUAUCUUCUUCCUUUUUUUUAUAGAUAUACAUAUACAUAUACUCAUUAAACUUUGAUUUUAAUCUAAUUGCGCACAUUUAAAAGGAGAUAAAUAUAUUUGUUUAUUUUUAUAUUUGAUUAAUAUAAUUGUUUGUGCUUACAAUAUAUAAACGUAAAGUGGUACUACGUCGAUAAUGUUGCUAGUAGUUUAUAAAAUUUGAAUCAAAUUAAAAUAUCAUAUAUAAAAUUGUAUAAAAUCAAAAUUCAUAUAUAACAUUGCAUAUUAAACUAAAAUUCAUGUGUAGUUUUAAUAUUCACCCACAUAAUAUUCAACAUAGAUCCAAUGCUUUCAUAAGCUUAAAAUUAGCAAUCGGCCUCGAAAAUUCCAUAUAAAAUCAGGUUUUCAAUAAUUUUGCAUUUCAUAUUCCAUUUCAAAAAUAAGAAUUUUAUGAAAAUUCAAAAACAAAAUCCGAAAUUAGAAAUGUCAAAUGGAUCCUAAAAGCAAACUUGAGUUACUUGAGUUGACGAAUCUUAUUUUAACAACUGAACUCAAUUUGAUUUUUUUUUAAUCGAAUCGAAUCGAGUUAAAAAAUUUUGAGUCGAGUUAAUGAAUCCUAUUAUUUAUACUCAAUGUGGUAUUUACGUGGACUGAUUAUUUAACUACAUAAACAAUAUAAUGAUUUUGUCUUUUAACUUAAUGGGUAAACAUUUAUCGAAACGACGAAGUUUUGCCUUUUUCUUAUUCAGAUUUUCAGAUAACUCGAAUUGUGUAAUUCAUAUUCGAGUUAAACUAAAAAUUUUAAUUUUUAUUCGAAUCACUCGAACUAUUUAAUUCAAUAUUUAAAUUUUUAUCAAAAUUUUCGAAUCGAAACAGAUUUUACUCACCUAACUAGAAAUUCAUAAAUAUGGCGACAAGUAGAUGGACAAAACGUCGCUAAAACAAAUAAUCUGGGUGUUUGUUUUACAAACACAAUUAAAUAUAAUUUUCAAUCAAAGUAAUUUUUUGUGACGGAAGGAAACAAAUGUAUAAAUUUAGGGAUAAAAAAAUUUCGAUUCGAUUUGAAAAAAAUUAAAUUUUGAGUUAAUCGAAUCGAGUUAUUUGAGUUUCAAGUUCGAGUCAAGUUGAAUUUUACAAUUCAAAUAACUUGAAUAAUUCGAAUAACAGAUUAGUGUAAAUACCUCUUUGAUCCCUGUCAAAUUUGAAAAUGAGCAAAUUGAUCUCUCUCAACAAAAAACAAAAAAGAAAUUCAAAAUACUUAUAAAAAUUAUAAAAAUAUAUAUAUUUUUUAAAAAUUUAAAGAUUCUAAAGAAUGUAUAAACAAAGUUAAAAUUUUAAAAAUUUUCUAAAAUAAUAAUUUUUAGACCUAAAUAAGUUAAUUAAUUAUUUAAGUUUAUCAUACUAAAAUAAUUUUAUUUUAUUAUCAUUUUGCUUUGAAAAAGCUUUCAAUUUCAUGUGUUCUAACAUGAAAUUAGUUACACUGUAACAAGAUUUUAAUUUGACAUGUUUAAUUUUUUAAUUUAACUCCAACAAUUUCACUCGAUUCGACUCAACUCGAAUUUCAUUUCACUUGACUCGAUUCGAAAAUAUUUCAAAUCAAAUUAGGAUGAUAAAAUGGAACUCGAUAACUCAAUUUAUUCAAAAUAUUUUCACUUGAUUCGAUCGAAUGCUAAUCCCUAUAUAAAUUAAUAGCAUAUUAUAACGUCGCUAAAGCUAAAAAAAGCGUCGUUAACUUGUUGCGUUUCUUGUAACAAACUCUCCAAUCUCUUGAAUUGCGAUGCUUUUUAAGGCGAUUUUGCUAGGGCGACUAUUUUUUAGUAGUCGUUUUAAGAACAGCAAUAGGUAAUAAAAAAGGGGGACGUCUAGAUGCAGCUUUUGUUGUAAUGUUCAGUUUGUAUAGUACAACAACAAACACAUGUUCAAAAUUUUCAAUUAUUUGGCAUGAUUAGCCAAGUCAUCUUAAUCUUGAGAAAAAUACGAGCACCCGUUAAAGAAUCUGAAGAUUUUUCAAUUUAAAUAAUUUUCAUUUGUUGCUUGUUUUCAAAGAAAAAUUACUUAUUAGAAUUUUACCAGCUAAAUCUGACUUUAAAUCUCUCAUAUUUUUAGAAUAAAUAUGGGCUCAUCUCAUCCAUCCACCAUGUGGAAUGUUAUGAAAUUAUAUGAUUUUGAUAGAUGUGAGUUAUUAACCCACAACAUGUCAUUUGUGAGAUUAUUUGCUUAAAAAAUUAAAAAGGAAAAUUACAACGGACGUAAUUGAGACAAUUUUGCUAAUGUUGAUUAGUUUAUAUCUUAAGCUUUUAAUGAUAUUGUAUGUAAGUUGAAACAAUAUUCUGUUGCAAAGCCUAUUGCUUAUACGCAAAAUUUAGUGAAAGUAUUAAUUAAACGCCUCUAAUUAAUAGUUAAAUCAUUACUUGUGAGAACACGGAUUCUCAUACAUAUAUGGAGAUAUAAUAUUUUAUAUGCAGCAACACUUAUAUGCAUUAAGCUAAUAAACUAACCCCGUUACAAUUCCCUUAUGGCUAGGAAUCACAUGUUUGUAAUUUUUAGAUGUGUGAUAUAUAUUUCGAUUGCUUCACGAUAAUGCAUAAAAUGGGUUUUAGAAAAUAUUUGGAAUAAUAUUAACUAUGAAUCUUUUUAUAAUUAUCAAAUAUUCUGAAUUGUUAAUUAGAGGUUUAGUUAUGAUGUGACUUGUCAAUUAUUUUAGUGAGAUAAUUUUUUCAACAUUAAAUAACUAGAUCAAUAAACUCUUGGGAUUAAUUAUCUAAAUGCUUUAAAGUAAUGUGAACCAUAAUUCAAAAGCAUUGAUAGAGUAUUGAUCCAAACUGAUGACCUAAAGGUGGUUAAAUUCAUUCAAGAAAGUCAGCCGGCAAGUGUGAAUUCAACCUUGGUAAAGAGGAUUCUACAACUGUUAAAGCGGAUUGAAUAUUGAAGAUAAGGUAUGUUCCAAGAGAGGAGAACAGAAUUGCGGAUUUAAUAGCUAAAAUGACCUCCAACAAGAAGGAAGAUGUUUAAGUUUUUGAGGAACUUCCCGAGGAGAUUCUUGAGGAGGAAUACAGUGAAAAAUCAUUGUAUUUUUACUAUUUUUCCUUAAUAACAAGAGCACAAGUCCCCCAUCAUUUGAUGUUGAAAUUUUAUUUGUUAGUUUAUAGUUUAGAGAGAAAAAGUUGGGAAAGUGUUUGAAUUCCAAAGUUUUGAAAAAAAUGUAGGAUUUAUAUAGUAAAUAUACCAAGUCAAAGUUCUCCUUAUAACUGGUAGACUUUUUUUGUCGGCCAAAAUACUAAAUAAAUUUUAAUUCCAAAUAAAUUGCAAGUUGAUAUAAUAAUAAUUAAACCAAUAGGAGUCUUACGUAAUGAAUUUCCUUUCUUUUUCUUUUUACUUUUCUUUUGAGUUAAGCUUAAUUUUUUAAAAAAUAUAUAUAUUGUUGAGUAAUUUUUCAUUGUACCUCAUUAGAGGGGAUAAUCAAAUAUUUAUAUAUAUGGUUAUUGUUCAUAAAAUUGACGUUCUCAGUAGACUCUAUGCAUGCAGGACAUGUGUACUGUUCUGGGUUGCGUGUUAGACUUCAUGGCCCCCACGUGCAAACUCCUUGAGUAUAUGCGAGCCGUGGCAGUGAGCUCUCGUUGUUGACUUCUCACUGUAAAGCUUGUGCAUAUCCAUCCAGUAGAGGCCUCCACAUGCGAACUUCUUGAUUAUAUGCGAACUGAGACCGCGAGCACCUCGUGGCAUGUGCGAGCUGAGGCAACGAGCUCCCGUUGCUGACUUCUCAUUGUAAAACUUGCAUGUAUCCAUCCAGUAGGGCUUAGCCAGGUCGCAGAUAGGCGACCUAGACCUUAUCUGAUUCUCGAGUUGAUGAUCAUAAGUACAUAAUAUAUAUAUUCAAUUUCAUCCAAAUCCAAACAAAAACAUGGAUCAAUUUGCCACAAAAGUACCAAGGAGAUAUAGAAAUUAUAGUUACCUUCCUCGAAUUCCUAUUAAAAAUUUUUGCCAAAAUUUUUAAAUGAAAAUAUUAAUUUAAAAAAUUGGAUUUUGAUUUUAUUUGUCAGAAAUUAAAAUGCAUACGUUUUAUAUAAAUUAACUAAUAUUUUUUAUAUAUCAAAAGGUGUUAAUGUCAAUUACACGUCUCAAAUGCAACGCUACCGUUCUACAACUUAUUUUAUCUAUUGACAUUUUUUGAUUUACGCAUUUUGAUUAUUUAUUUUAAUGCUUUUUUAUUAUUUUGAGCAAUAAAUCUCGAUAUUAUAAUUGGAGAAGAGAUUGAAUCAAGAAUAUUUUUCAAGGGUUCUAGUACGAUUAUUUGUGUAAUUUAACUGAUUGUGGAUAAGUUAAAAUCAAGAAUAUCUCAUUUAUUUUAUUCCAUAAUAACUUAUUUGAUUAGGGAGAAAUUUCAUAUAUUCAUUCAAAUCAAACUACGAUGCUUAUAUAAAGACUUGUGUUUCAACUUUUGGCGGAGAAGGUGAGAUCGCUUAUAUGUUCAAUGCUAGGAACCUGUUUUUAGGCAAUUACUUUGUAAACAUUGUUCUUCAUAUUCAAUUUGUCGUUUAAGUUUUUAAGAGAAAAGUCUUAGUGAGGAAUUGAUGUAUAGGAAUGAGAUUGCAACUUGACAAGUAAGUUGAAUUUAAAUAACGUCUUAUGCUUUUAAUUCAUAGCAGAUUACUUUCUAGAUAAAACCACACAGAAGUAGGAAAUUUUCUUAACUGUGUAAUUAACUUUUGUGUACAUCUCCAAUUGUUGUUCUUUUAAUUAGUAUAACCAGUUGCAAUUGAAUGUGCAACCGAAAGACAAUUUCACUGAAAUUUCAAAAAAAGAUAUAUGGAUUUCAAAUCAACCGCCAAAUAAGCAAAAACAAACUCAUGAGCUUGAAAACAAGUAUGAAAAAAAUUAAAUUUACUCGCAUUUUUAAAGAUAAAUUUUAAAAUUACACAUGAAUUUUUAUUUGUUACAAUUAUAUAUAUAAUUUUGAUUUUGAUUUUUAUUCUUCACAUUUUUUUAAAAAUAAAUCAAUUUGAUUAUUUUCAUAUCGAAUAAAUAUAAUUAUUGAUACAUGCAAUAAGUAAACUUAAAUGAUGUCAUGUGUCAUAGUGUUAAACUUUGUGAAAACCAAAUCGAAAUAAAAAUUUUAUGUAUACAAUUUAAAAAACAAAAUUCAUAUAUUAUAUUGCAGAAAAAUAAGCUAUGAUAAGCCCUUAAAUUUCAACCUUUGCAAAGCACUCAAUUAAUCCAAGAAUUUUGUCACUUGAGGGAUGAUUGGUUCAUAGAAUGUAAAAUUAUUUUCAGUAAUAGGAUUAUUUAAUACAUUACUAAGUAUGUUAUUUACUUUAUUUAGCUAAAAUUUAAUAUUUUAUUAUUUAAUUGAUUUAUUGGAAUUGCAUUUUACUAAACUAUUUUUAUUAUAAAAUUUGUUUUUUUUAACAAAUUUAUUCCCCCCCAAAAAAACCCCUUAAAAUGCCAAAUUAGACUAUGCUAGGAAUCCGAUUUUUAACAUAAGAAAAAAAAAUAAAAGAAUAAUUUUUAUUUUUAUUUUUAUAAUUAAAAUAAAAAAUUUUCUUAUCCAAAAUAUGAUAUUUGAAAAAAUUUACUUGACGGCGGCACAUUAUUAUGUUUUUUUUUAACAAUCACAUGAUAAGUUCUUUUUUUUUUUUUUUGACAUAAUACCUAGAACUAUCCAUAAUCUCUCCCCAACCUAUAAACAAGAAGAUAAUGCACUUCAACGCAUUCAAACAAACGUCUUCCUACAUUAACAAUAAUGCACAUACCGGUCGAAUUAAGACUCAAUCAACUAUUAUAUUUUGAAAGCUACUUCCUAGCAAAGAGGAAAUUCCUAGCCACAUAAUAUAGUCAAAUAUGGCUGCCAUUUAGUUUUCCUUUAAACGAAAACAUGCUGAAGAAAAGGAAAUAAUUCAGGGUUGAUAAAAGAUAUAUAUGGUGAUUUGAAUAUCAUACGAAUUUUUCUUAAAUUUUCUUUAGUUUUUUCUAUAGAAAGCUUGACUUAUGUUUGAGUAAAUAAUUUUUUUUAAAUGAAGAUUAAAGAAAAAAAUAUUAUGUGAAUCUUAAUAUUAUGUGCUUUUUUCCCAAAAUUAUUGUUUAAUUUUGAAUAUCAUAUGCUUUACCUAUGAAUUAUUGUUUAAUUAAUUAAUGAGAGUAACUAAAAGAGACUAAUAGAAAGAGGAGAUAUUGUAGAAUGGUCACUAUUGUCAUCUCUUCCUCUAUGUUCUAUUGUUUGUAAACUAAAUUAACUUUCAAUUUUUAAAUCUCAAAUUUUUUUUUUUGUUAUGAGUUUAAUUUAUUUUAUCAAAAAUAUUACUAACAAUUAUUUAAUUAAUUUAAUAUUACUGUUUUGAAGCUUAUUUGCUUUGUUAUUUGCGAUUUAAAUUGUCAUUUCGGUAGAAAAUUUCACUGAGGUCAUUUAACUUUCAAUCAAAUUCUUUUUUUUUCCUUUACAUGAUUUUAGGUUUUAUUUCCAGCUAUGACGAUUAUAUCAAUUUGGUGGACUAACUUACCCUUUAGCGUUCUUUUAGUAGCUGACUUAAUUAUUUGGUUAAUGGAUUCAUAUUUUAUAACAAGGACAAUAUAGUAAAAUUUAUUUUUAGGUUAUCUUACAUUUCAGCUAAAUGAACCAAAUAAGGUAAUCUCACAUUCCACCCGUAAUUUUACACCCCAUAAUCAUAUUAUAGAACGUAAUUUACGAUUCGACAAACCAAACACCCUCUUAGGGUUAAUGUUUUGUUAGGUUUUCUCAUAGGAACCUUACACUCAUGGAUAGUGAGGUAAAUUUAAAUUUUCAUUUCCCUCUUCAAAUAAUCAAAAAUAGAUUACGAUGUACAUUGAUGCAAAUUACAAUUUACAUUUUUUAAAAUUUUUACGAAGAUCUCAACCGCCAUGAAUGCCAAGUUCUCUUUAAAUAUUAUCCACACCUGUUACAAAAUAAAUUAAAUUAAAUUAUCAUAAUUAAAAUUUUAAUGUUUAACAAAGAACUCAAUAUUAAUUUACUAAUUGAGUCUUAGUGCAGUUGAUAUCAGCAUUAUUGUCUAGAGCAGGAAGACGUGAGUUCGGACGUACUAAAGCAUAUUUAUUCUCUUAUUUAAAGGUGGGUAGAAAUUAUAGAAAAUUUUAAGUAUGAUGUUAAAAUACAAUAACUCAUAUCAAUUGAACUUUUUUUUUUGGUAACAAGAAAUUGAAUUAUUAAACUAACAGGAUGUAGCAGGAGUCGAAAGCACAGACAUGUUAUCCAUCCUUAACUGGUGACGGACUAAAGAGGGAGCCCUAUGGAACAUAUGGACACCAAACAGGAAAUCCUUCAUUAUUCCGGCCAACAAGUGAGUGACAAAAUUCACUACCUUUAGGAUCUGCUCAAAGACAACACUCCAAUCUCGACUGCAUAACUCAUGAAUUCUUAGAACCAAAUCUCUAUGUAAAUACCCUCUUAAGUCACCAUUGAUCUUUCUAAUAGCAAGUGCACAAUUCAUUUCAACAACGAUAUCUCUUCAUUUAGCACCCCACACCAUAAUAAGACCUCAUAAAUUAUCCAAAGCUCCGCUUUCUCUGCACACACUUACCAGUAUUUUUACCUACCACAUACACCCAAUUGUCAUAUUCACCUCUCAUCACUGCUGUUGAUGCGGCUAAACCUGAAACUGAAUUACUAAUACCGUCAAUAAUGAAACCUGAAAGAGGUGGGCUCUCCUAUUCCGUCUUCUGGUACCUUAAUAAUUCUAUAAUCAUUGCCUCCAUCUCAAUGGUGUGCAAAAAACUCGCCACUCUCCCAAAAGAAUUUUUUUUUUUUAGAAAUUAAUUUCCAGAAAAACCUAUUUUAAGUUUUAAUUAUUUUUUUCUACAAUAUUGAUGUAAAAAAAAAUCUAGAACUUACUACAUAUACAUGAGAAAUUAUGUACAUUUGGGUCUAACCCAGCCGCCGUACGUCAUCUCUAAUUCUCGCCUUAAUUUCCUUUUUUAUUAUUAAAAAAAUCCUUUUCCCCAUAAUUUUAAUUCUUUUAAGAUAUUUUGUCCUUUAGUUCUUGCCUAUAUAAUUAUAAAGCGUAGGGUUCCUCAAACCUUUAUUGGAUCAAAUCAUAGGUUUAUCAAGAUCACUUGUCAGUUUAAAGCAUUUACAAACAGAACGGCCUUCAAUGGAGGAGUUCUUUCAAUAUCAUUCAAGCUCUCAAUCACUGUUUCGAUUGCCGUCGCCGUCGACGGAGACUUUGCCAGGCUUCUGGGAUGAGCUUCUUCUCAACUUCAAUGACUUCGAAGAAAUGGUUUGGGAUGAUAUGGCUGCGGCGGCCCUGGAUAAGUCCAAGAACUCCGUUAAUGGCGUAAAGGAAGAACGUGUCACAUCGGAUAUUCCUAAAAUGGAAGAGUUACCCAAGGAAGAGAAAGCUUACAGAGGUGUAAGGAAGCGACCGUGGGGGAAAUACGCGGCUGAGAUUAGGGAUUCAACGAGAAAUGGAGUUAGGGUUUGGCUUGGAACAUUCGACAGUCCCGAAGCCGCCGCUUUAGCUUACGACCAAGCGGCGUUUUCGACGAGAGGACCAUCGGCGACGCUCAAUUUCCCGGUGGAAGUCGUCAGGGAAUCGCUUCGGAGCAUUAAGUACCGAUGCGACGAAGGGUGCUCGCCGGUGUUGGCGCUGAAGAAAAGACACUGUUUAAGGAAAAGAUCGAAGAAGAAUAAGAUGGUGAGCCCACAAAAGGAGGUAAUUUCAAGAGAGACACGACAACAAAAGAACUUGGUCGUGUUGGAAGAUUUAGGAUCUGAUUACUUGGAACAACUUCUAACUUGUUCAUCUUGAAACCUCACUCAGGUUCUUUUGUUUCAUAUAUAUAUCUAUACCCGUUUCUUCACUUUCAAACAAUAUUGUUCUUAGUUCUUCUUGGUUUCAUUGAAUCUUUGGAGGGGAUGAUUUUCCAUGGCUGUUAACUGCUUCUUCCAUGGAUAAAAUGUACUCUUUUUUUUCUUUUUUUUUUUUUUUCUCAAUUUUAAGUUUUUGUAAUGUUAAAAUAUGGAAAUAUAUGAGUUUUACACUAAGGUAAAUAGAUCUCUUUAUAGUGAUAAUAUUAUAUACUAAAUAUAAUAAUUUAUCUUUUAAUUAAUUUCAAAGUAUUGAAUAAAAUUAUGGUAUAAACUAGGAAUCCACUUAAAUUAAUAUUUUAACAAUAUAAAAAUAAUAUAAUUUUUAAUGUAAAACAACAAUAUAACUAUUGGGUUUAGCAAUAUUUGAAAAGAAGGCUCUAAUGCUAAUCUUAACAAGAAAAAGCUUUUUUAUUCUCCCUAACUCUUUCAUUUUGUUUUCUUUUAUGCAUAAUUGCAUCGGAGUUCAUUGUCAAGUUAAUCUAGUAAUGAGUAGUUAGGAUGUAAUUUUCAUAUUAAGUGUAUAAGGUUUUUAUAGGCAUAUUCAUAUAUAACAAAUAAUUAAAUAUUUUUUAUUUUCUUAUCAUACUUAAAUCGUGACAAAUUCAAUUAUCAACGGUUAACGUGCUAUGAUGUUUUAUUAAUAUUUUUUUAAUUUUUUUAAAUCAAAUGAUACCAUUCCUAUAAUAGAUUUCCUUUUAAAAACUACUAAUAAUCAUUGUAAAUAAUAAUCUUGAAAGAAAUUCAUUGGUUAUUGACCAUUGACCAGGCUUGUGGAAUUCAAGCAAGACCAUUGAGUCAUAAGGUUGAACCUAAGCUACCAGAUUUGUCUGAAUCUAACUUUGACAUUUACUAGUUACAACAAAUAUUUAACUUCAAAACCCAAAGUUAGAAUUAAUUGAUUCACGAAUCAGCAUAAAUAGAUUUUUUCUAAUUUUUAACAUGUUUUUAAUUUUAUAAUAAUUAUUUUUAUUUAAAAAUCCAUCUAUCUAAAGAUGGGAUAGUGAAAAGGAGGCGAAAGUGACCAUCUGUCCCUUUACAGGUAGUGAUGUUCAAAUCAUCUAAACUUAACCCUAACUUUUGCAUUUUUUUAAAAAUAGAAUUGAUGGGAAAAUAUUAAAUAAAUAUUGCUACGUCUGCAAAAUCAUCUAGUUUGAAUAGGUUGUUCAUUAGCUAAGCUCCAUGCGAUCUGAUCUGUAUUCUUCAAACAAAUUAAUCAUUUACACUGGUUCAUGCAUCUUACCCCAGAAUAUUUCAAACAAAUUUGUAUAUCAAUGGCCUCAUCCAUGAUGAUGAAAGAUCAGAUUGGAUUAUUCAGUUUAAUAAAAAGUAAUUAUAACAUUAAUCAUUUACUAAGUUAAUUUUAUCUGUGGUUAGGUUGAUGCCACGUAAUUUUUUAGGCAUUUAUUAGUUUUCCAUAUGCUUUCAAACUUUUUUUUUAAAUGUGUAUUUAAAUUGAACUUCAACCCUAAAUGCUAUUCGUUUUUCAGAAGAAUGUUGGUCAAACGAAGAACAGAAGUAGAAGGGAGAGAUCAGUGUCAGAAAACAACAAAAUAGACGGACUCAGUAAGAUUCAAGUUUGCUAUCAUGUAAACCCAGAGAAUCAAGAAACACCUAAAACCCCAAAUCCACUCAAAAUCAUCCCAGAAAAUUAAAAAAAAAUCUAAUAACAAAAGGAUAUUUUACACAUACUGUAUGCCAUGCUUCUUGUCCCUGCCUUUCCAUUGUUUCCUCUCCAUAAACAAACAUUACAUAGUUUCUUUGAUUUUUUCUCUCUCAAUCAAUCCUAACCCUAAGAUAGGGCGUAGAUUGGCCCAAAAAUGGUAAAAUUGCUUUAUAGCUUUGGCUUCCAAAAUAUUAUCAUUCAUCUCUAGUCUCUACCUCUCUAAAUUAAUUUUUCUGGUUUCCUCCCUGCAUAAAACCUAGACUUUGAAAUUAAUGUUUUCAAUCCUAACCCUUACACUAUUGGUCUCAAUCCUUCUCUUUUUCAAAAGUUUUCAAGAACCCUAAAACUCUGAACAAUAUUCACCCUUUCUUUCCCUAAAUUAACUUAGGCACUUGACACUUGAGUAACCCAGAGUAUAACCCUAAGGUCAAAAGUCAAAACCUGGGCUUAAUAUAUUAAAACAACACCAACAAAAAUUUUACUUACCCACAUGGAAAAUGGAAAAUUACGUGGAAAUUACAAAAUUCUAGUUGGGUCAGUUCAAUUAAAAAAUAUUAAAAAUUCUAUAUUUGGGCACAAUAGUGUGGGAUGAAUCAUAAUGAGGUUAAGCUAAAUGUUCAUGCCUCUGGUACUCGAGUUUUCUUGCCAGCUAAUUGGGUGCACUUAUUCACUAAUGGUGCGGUGGAUAGAGGGUCUGGAGCUACAUUUGCUGGUGGACUGUUGCGAGAUCAGAAUAGAGAUUGGGUCUUGGGUUAUAACUAUUAUCUUGGAAAAUGUGCAGUCUUUGAGGUUAAACUAUGGGGCAUUUUAGAUGGCAUGCUUAUUUUACUCAGUAAAGGUUAUAAUGGAGUUAUGAUUCAUACAGAUAAUUUGGAGGUAGUUCACGUCCUACAGGAUAAUUUGUUGGUGACGUCGGGCAUUAUAGUCCUCAAGAGAGUCCAACGGAUCAUGAGAACUGAAAAGCAAUGGUUGAUUCGGUAUGUUCCCAUAAAAGAUAAUCAAGUUGCUGACUAUUUGGCCAAGUUGAAUUUAGGUGUGAGGACAUGCUUACAAGUUUAUGAUGAAGUUCCUCAUGUUACCUUAGAAGCUCUAAAUCAAGAUAAAGCUAAGAGUGCUUUUGAUCAAUUUAAUUUGAUGUAAUCUUUGUUUUUUUUUAUCACCAAAAAAAUAUAUAUUAAAAAUCAGUCAAAAAAAAACUAAAAAUCAACUCAAUUGAUUUUUUAAUCGGUUCAACAAGUUAGCGGUUCUAUUGGUCUAAUAUCAUUUUUCAAAUAAAUAUUUUAACUAAUUCUUGAUACAACUGGUUCGAUCGGCUCAAUUGAUUUGAUGAAUUGAUCUGGUUCAAUUCAAAUAUCACUGAUUUUUGUUGCUAAACUAAUGGCACUUUUAAGAUGAAGUACAUAAAAUAUUUUAAUUUCGAAAAGUUAAAUGAUUAAAUUAAAAUAAUAAUAAUUGAGAAGAUAAAAUAAAUCUAAUUGCAUAGGACAACAUUCUUACAAGUUACCCAUUAAUAAAAAUGGGUGGUUCAUUCAGUCAAUACAUUCAAUCGAUAAAAAGAUAAGUAAGAAAUAUGUAAAAAUCGAUUUUUGGUAUGUUUUAUUAAAUUUACUUUUCAAUUCAUAAAGUUUCAACUUUUAGCCUUCUGCGGGUAUUAAACACAAAUACAAAAUUAUAUUAAUUAAUUAAUUAAUUAUUAUAUUUUAUAUUUAAAUUAAUUUAUAUUCGAGUUAUCCAAUUUAAUUGAUUCUACCAGGAAACUAAAUGAAUUGGUAUCUUGUUGAUCACACUAGUUUGACAUUAAGUACGGUUUUUUGUCAAUGCAAUUUUUGUAUUAUAUAAGCAAAACUCAAAAGUUGUCAUGUGUCUUAUUUAUUUAUUACGUCUUAAAGGGUACAUGUCAUCCUUUUAAGUCUUAUUUGUGGAGACUAAAAUUUCAAUUUACAGUCUAACUAUUAGAGAAUGUAGUAAGUGAUUCUUUAAGAUUUUAAGAUCAAUUUAUUGUGUCGGAGCACUGUUUGUUACAUCCUAUAAGUCAUCAUCUUAAGGAUCAGGAUGCUACUAGUUCGAUUUGGUUCAGUCAAGUUUUUUUUUGGAAAUUUUAAACUAUCUAUCAUUUUAGUUCGAUUCAAUUUUUUUAUAUUAAUUUUUUGAUUUUUGAUUUUUAGACUUAUUUUAAUAAAAUGUGCUUUUGUUUUAUGGUUUUUGAAUAUUAUUCGACAAAAUGUAAAACUCUUUUCAUAAAUGUUUCUAAAAUAUAAUAAUUUUUAAAAAAAUAUUAUAAAAUUUUAUAUCAAUAACUGUGUUAAUAAUUUGUGAAAAUUGAAUUAAAUUAAAAUUUUACGUAUAAAAUUACAUAAAAUCAAAAUUCCUGUUUAAAAUUACAUAUUAAACCAAAAUUCAUUGAUAAAAAUUUAUCCCAAAAUAAAAACAUUCAAAGUUAAAAUAAUAAACGUAUUUUAAUUUUAAAGCAAUUAUAUAAAUUCUAAUUAGAAAAUUACAAAAAUUAUCGUUAUAAAAUUUACAAUACAAUGUAUUUAACUUUUUAUUUUAUCAGUAUCUUAUAUAGUAAAAACACUUUCUAUCCAACCCAUUCUACGAACAAAAAUUAUGUAAAAUUUGGGUCAAACCCCGCCGCCGUACGUCAUCUCUGAUUCUCAAGUUAGUAUUAUUAUUAUUAUUUCAGAAAAAUACUUUUCCCAUUAUUUAAAUCUAUGUUCUUUUUAGAUGUUUUGUCCUUCUAAUUCUGGUAUAUAAAGCGUAGAGUAUCUCAAACCUUGUCGGAUCAAAUCAUAGGUUAUCAGUACCAGUUUUCAGUUUAAAUCAUUUAUAAAGAGAACAGCUUCAAUGAAGGAGUUGUUUCAGUAUCAUUCAAGCUCUGAAUCAUUGUUUAUAUCGCCGUCGCCGUCGUCGGAGACCUUUUCAGGUGGCUGGGAUGAGCUUCUUCUUAACUUCAAUGACUUGGAAGAAAUGGUUUGGGUGGAUAUGGUGGCGGCGGCCUUGGAUUUGUCCAACAACUCCAUUGGACAUUCCUAAACUGAAAGAGUUACCCAAGGAAGAGAAAGCUUACAGAGGUGUAAGGAAGCGGCCGUGGGGGAAAUACUCGGCUGGGAUUAGAGAUUCAACGAGAAAUGGGGUUAGGGUUUGGCUUGGAACAUUUGACAGUCCCGAAGCCGCGGCUUUAGCUUACGACCAAGAGGCGUUUUCGACGAGAGGAUCAUCGGCAACACUCAAUUUCCCGUUGGAAGUAGUCAGAGAAUCGCUUCCGAGCAUUAAAUACCGAUGCGACGAAGGCUGCUCGCCAGCGUUGGCACUGAAGAGGAGACACUGUUUAAGGAAAAGAUUGAAGUGAGCACACAAAAGGAGGUAAUUUCAAGAGAGACACGACAACAAAAGAACUUGGUCCUGUGGGGACAUUUAGGAUCUGAUUACUUGGAACAGCUUCUAAACUUGUUCAUCUUGAAACUGACGGACUUCCGACAAGAAUGGUCAUAUGUUAGAGACAGACCACUUUUGUCUCCACUUCCCAAGUAUCUAACGAGAUAGCCCGACCCUUCCUUCGGUUUCAAACAUUGUUUUCGGUUUCAUUGAAUGUUCGAGGGUUGAUUUUUCAUGGCUGUUAAUUGAUACUUGUAUGGAUAAAAUGUUUCUUUUCAAUUUUGUAAAGUUGAAACAUAUAUUUAUAUAAUGAUAAUAUUAUAUUAAACACAAUACAUUAAUAAGUGGUAGAGGAUUCGAUUCUUAUUUUGGUAUGGAGUAAUUUUUUUGAUGUUAACCUUGGAUAAAUGAAUAAAUUUAAAAUUCGUGUCCAGCAUCUAUCUCUUAAUGAGUUUACAGAAUACGAAAGAUUAAUUAUUGAACUCGCUCCGAUAAAUACAUUGAGAAAUUAAAAAAAUCUACUUAUAUUAAUUGUAAAAUUAAAUUUGUUUAAUAUGCUUCUUUUUUUUUAAUAAUAUUUUAACAAUAUAGCUUAAUAGUAUGUAAAUGCACUCAUCACAAAGGUAAAGCUUUGAAUCAAAAAUAAUAUUUGUAUUGAUCAUGAAUGUUACUUUAUCAAUAGUUUUUUUUACAUUAGGAAAACAGUUGGCUUUUAAUUUCUCAAAAUUCAACUAUGUUAAUAAAAUAUAAAACAUGACCAUCGUAUUAUUAAAAUAUCAUAAAAUAUAUAUAAAAUUACUUUAAAAAUUUUAUACUAAAAUAUAACUGCACCACUUCUUGUUAUUAUUACAAUAAUCAAUUAAAUAUAAUAAUCUUAAAAAAGAUCAUCUACGACAGCAAAAUCCAUUGUUUAUAGGCCAUUGAUGAGAUUUAUAAAAACCCAAACGAGUUCUUUUGGGAUUCAAAACUAAAAGGUCAAAGUGUCAAGCAGAUUGUGUUUUGAUCUCUUUACAUUGAAAAAUUGAGUAAAUUAAUUUUUAUACAUUUUGAAAGGUGUAAAUUAGUUCAUCUAUUAAAUUUUAUUUGUUAAAUGAUGACGUAAAACAUUAAUUUAAAUUGUUAAUUACGAAUUUAGUCUCUGAACUAUAACUAAAAUAUUAUUUUGAUUUUUUUAAAAAAUUUUAACUAUAAUUUUUAAAAAAUUAAAAAUAAUCUUAAAAAUAAAUUUUUUUGCAUGGAAAAGACGUGACAUUGCCUCUUGCCAUGUGCUGGUCAAACUUCAAAUAUCCUUCACCCUAGACCAGUUCAUGAGUUGAACUAUCCGUCUAAGAUCAAAGGCUCACCUAAAAUUUGAGAGAGUUUGGAUAAAAAUAUUAGGGCCGUUUAACCUAAGGGUUGGACUCAGGCUUGAACAUUCAAUGAUCGAGCCUGGCCCGAGCCCGACCCAUUUUUAAGUUUAUAAUACUUUAUAUUAUGUUAUAUUUAUUUAUUAAGUAAUUUAUAAAACAUUAAAAAAAUAAACCUAUAUUAAAUAUAUAAUACUACUCUAAUGUAAACAUUAAAAUAAUGUGAAGAUUAUUAUAUAAAAAAUUUCAAUAAAUAAAAUUAUUAAAUUAUUAAAUAUUAAAUUAAAAUAAUAUGGGUGGGCCUAAAAUGGGGUUGGGUUAGUCUUUUGCAAAUAUGGACGAGUUUGGGCAAACAUAAAAUAUAUAAAUAUCAUGCAUAGGCACGACCUGAACACAACCCAGUCCGGCCCAUGAACACCUCUACUUCACCCACUGAGUUGGAAAUUUUACCUUGAAACGAUAGUUGGCCACCACCAUCAUUGUUUCUUCAUUAAAGGCCUUCCAAAGAGGGCAUUAUAAGCAGGGGAGAAAUUAGAAAAAAAAUUUAGGAGGCCAAAAUUAAAUUGUAAUUUUUACAAUAGUAAAAAUGCAAUUUCACCGUUUUAAUAGCCUCUAUCUUUAUAAUUUUUAAAGAAUUAAAUCAAAAUUUUAUCAUUUCAGGGGGGCCAAAGUACAAUUUUACCUUUACUAAUUUAAAAUUUUAAAAAUUUCAAAGGGCCUAAAUAAAAAAUUUUCCAUUUUAAGGGGACAAGGCCCCUGCCAGCCUCACUGGUUUCGCCCCUGAUUAUAAGAUGUUGGAUGGUCCACAAUUAGAAACUCAACCAUAUUUGUGAUUGUUCAAUCAUCAUCACCUAUUAUAACUGGUAACGUAAUUGAUCCUCUGACUUCAAUCAGCUGAUUAAAUGCCUGCUAACUCAACUCUUCCAUCACACGUCCAGUAUCAAUCAAAAUCCUCUUAACUUCAAAUCCUACAAUCAUUGCUGAAACUACCAAAGGAUCAUUGCCUUCUAGAUCACUCAAUUAGCUUCAUCUUGAUCAAAAAAUCCAACUUUAUGGGGUAUUGAUAAAUUAAAUAAAGUGUAAAACAUUAGAGGUAUCGAAAAAGGGAAUUAUUUAAGUUCAUACAUGUCAUGACCUAUUUUUAUAAAUGUUUGGUAUUGAUAAAUUGAAUGGAAUAAUUGUAUAGAUUAAGAAUUGGAUCAAACCGAAGAUAAUCGAGGAAAAGCCAAAAUUGUCAAUUAGUCAUUGAAGAUUCAAUUUGUGUGCUAUUUUGAUCAGGCAAGUACAUAUGGAACUUACCACUCAAUUUUUACUUUAUGUAUGAACGGUAUUUGAAUUUACACUUGUAUAUAUAUGAACUAAGUAGAAUUAAUGAAUUUGGCACUUAUAGCUCGAAAUGGACUGAAUUGUAAGUUCAUGUCAGUAUUGGUAUAGAAAUAGAACAAGAUGUAAAUGUGAUUGUUGACUGAUUAUUUGUGUUAAAAAUGAGAAUUAAAGUUAUGUACAGGAAUUGGUUUUGACAUUUAUACGAAAAUGAUGCACGAGUAUGACAUGCUAUUAGGAUUAUACACGUAAUUAAUCAGGGAUUUAUAUGUUAUUACGAGAUCUAGUAUUUGUUGCAGAUUCUCGGGUUAUACAUAUCGUUGGUUUAGCCCGGACAGGUAACCUUGAUACAAUGCCAGCUUGUCUGAGAAAUUUUGUUAAAAUGGUAGCUUAUGUAAGCAACCCUAAUAUAUGUCAACUUAUGUAAGCAAAAUAUUCUCGUGUAUCUGAGUCUGCUUUACUGUAGUUCCAUCGAGUGAUGUUCAAUUGAUUGGAAAUAAAAUUUAAAUCAUGAAAUGAAAAUAAAAUAGUGUUAAUGAUACCUGACAUAUGAAUUGUUAUAUGAUUAUGUUUUAAAUGUUGGCAAUACUUACGAUCCGAGAAUGUAACUAACACAUUCGAUUUGUGGUGAUAUUAUACAUAGAGAUAUGUCUUAAUGUGACAAGGAAAGUUAAAUCGGUAGCCAAAUGAAUAAUUGUUUAUGCUUUAAUGAUCAAAGGUUCAUUUUUAUAUUUUUUCGCUAAUAUUAGGGAUUCAGCUUUCUAAAAACCCUAUAAAGGUUUUUCUAACCUUUCUAUUUUUUGUUCUAAGGUUUUCUGGCUAGAGUAGUUGUAACUAUCAUAAUAAUAUUCAUCAUAGCUAUCAUUCAUAUCAAUAUCAUCUACCACAUUUUCAUUACCUUGAUUUGCAUGUUGAUGAUUGAGAUUUGAAUGGGUAGAUUUAUCCCCUCCAUGCCUUGGUUUUUUUAUCAUAAUUCAUCCUACCUACUUUUAACUCCCCAAUAAGCUUUACGUUUCUUUCAUUUCUUUUGUCUACUUGCCUUUAUCUAUCUAUUUUCUCUUGGAUAAACUUUUCCUACUCUUCAUAUCUCUUUUACUGGGAGGACAUUUGUUUCUACUUAGCUGUUAUUCUCUCUUGCAUGUCCAGAUUUUGUUGACCACCUAACUGGUGAUGCUGAGAUCCUUGGUCGGUUGGUGAUGCUCUAGCAUGAUGUUGAUUCUGGGGAUUGUAAUACCAUGGGGUAUUGGUAGAAUUGUUGAUAUGGAUUUUGUUUAUUUGGUUUUGAGGAUUGGUUUGAUUUUGCGGGUUGGUCUUCUGGUUGUCAAGCAAGGGGUUUGGGUUGUUCUCUUUUGAUCGAUGUUUUCUCCUAUGUUAUGAUCAGUAGAAUCUAUAACUUGGUUACAGGUGGGAUCAAACUUAGUGCUUGGAGGAUUACUUACACCUAGGUUCGUCAUGGCUGUCCACAUUCACUGCACUAAUUGUUAACUAAUGGGGUAAAUAAUGGAAGAAGAUGGUGAUUGGAAGAAGGGAUGAUCGAUGAAAGUGGAGAGAGAGGUUUUUGUUUUUAGAAAUGUAAAAACAAAAUGUCGAUAAUGGCAAUAUAGAACGAUCGCAAAGGAAAAAAAAGAAAAAUAAUAAGAACACAUAGAUUUUACGUAGAAACCCUUUUGGGAAAAAAACAUGGGCAGAGGAGAAAAAAGUUCACUAAUGUUGAAAUUCGAAUAAUACAAGAGGAGUUUCAACUACUUCUAUUUAUAGGUUGAAAAACCUUAUUCUAAUCAAUGCCAAAUAGAAUGAGAGAAGUACUAUACGGAUCUACUUGUACAAUCAAUAUCAAAUAGAAAUAGAAAUAGAGUAGUUCUAUAUGAAUUUUACUUGUAUUUUAUAUUAUUUUAUUUUUUAACAGGAAUUUGGGUCACACAACUUUAAUAAUCUCCACCUUGACACGAAUUCUCAACAAAAAAGUUCUUCACCGUGAACUCUCAACGAAUAAGUUCUCCACCUCUUCCACAAAAACCCUUAAGGGGUAAUCUUCAACAAUAUACACUAACCAAGUCCAAGCAAUACUCAAACUUGGUUAUAAGAAGUGACUUAGCCAUAAUAUCUACAGGAUUAUCAUGAGUACUAACUUUUCUCACAACAAUAUCACCACGAGCAAUAAUAUCACACACAAAAUGAUAUUGAACAUCAAUGUGCUUUAUUCUCUCAUAAAACAUUUGAUCCUUCGUAAGGAAGAUGACACUCUAGCUGUCACAAAACACUGUACUAAUCUAAAAGUCUUUAUUGAGUUCACCAAAGAGUCCCUUUAACCAAAUAGCUUCUUUACAAGCCUCAGUAAUUGCCAUGGUCUUAGCUUCAAUAGUAGACAAGGCAACUGUAGUUUGCAAAGUGGCUUUCCAACUAACUGCGCAACCUUCAAUUAUAAAAACAUACCCUGUGAGAGAUCUUCUUUUAUCAAGGUCUCCAACAAAAUCAGAAUCAACAUAUCCAAUGACUCCAUCUCUAGUUCUUCCAAACUGCAAAAAAACAUCAGUAGUACCUCAUAAGUAUUUAAAAAUCCACUGAACUGCUUUUAGUGUUCUUUACUGGGAUUUACCUUGUAUCUACUAACUGCACUAACUGAAUAUGACAAAUCUAGACGUAAGCAAACCAUAGCAUACAUGAAAGAUCCCACUGCACUAGAAUAUAGAACACGUGACAUGUAGUCAAUCUUAUCAUUUAAUUGUGGAGAAAAAGUCAAUAAAAGUCUGAAGUGGGCUGCUAAUAGAGUACUAACAAACUUGGCAUUCUGCAUAUUGAAUCUGCAACUAACUUUCUCAAUGUACCAUUUCUGACUUAGGUACAAUUUACAUGAUUUUCUAUCUCUGAGAAUCUUCAUCCCAAGUACCUUCCUUGCUACUCACAAAUCUUUCAUCUCAAAUAAUCAAACCUCUUGUAUCAUUGUCUUGGUGACUGUUUCAAGUUAUAAAGGGAUUUUUUCAGCAAGCAAACAUAGUUCUCCUUAUUUGAGACUUGAAAACCCUCUAGUUGUUGUAUAUAAAUAUUUUUGUCAAGUUUUCAUUGCAAGAACGUUAUUUUUACAUCUAAUUGUUCAAGCUCCAUAUCAUACAUAGCUAAAGCAAGGCUCGAAUCAAAAUAUGCUUCACAACUAGAGAAAACACAUCUGUGAAGUCUACAACUGGAGUCUGAUUGUAACAUUUUACAAUAGUCUUGCUUUAUAUUUGGGUUCUUCAACUUUUAAAGUCCCCAUUUCUUUUUGAACACCCAUUUACAAUAAAUAACCUUUUUACCUUUAGGAAGCUUUACUAGAUCUCAUGUUCUAUUCUUAUAAAGUAAUUCCAUCUCUUUUUGCAUAGCAAUCAUCCACUUUCUUGAAUCUUCGCAGCUAAUUGCCUUAGAAUAAGUAGAUGACUCUUAAUUUACAUUUAUAUCUUCAGCCACAUUUAAAGCAUAAGCAACAAGAUCAACCUCAGUGUUCCUCUUUGGAGGUUUAAUUUUUCUUAUAUGUAUAUUCUUGGCAAUAGCAUAUUGUAUACUCUAUUGUAGAUCUUGGAUCAAUCUGAAGCUCCACCUACUUUUAUUGGUCUUUAUUGGAAGAGUCUUUAAAAGAUAAGUUAUGUAACAUACCAAUUUCAUAAAAAAAAUAACAUCUUUGCUAAUCACAACUUUUUUUUUAUUUUCAGGACACCAUAACUUAUACCCUUUAACACCAGCCUUAUAACCAAGAAAAACAAAUUUAAUGGAUCUAGGUUUCAAUUUCCCAUUAUCAACAUGAGCAUACGUAGGACACCCAAAAAUCUUCAAAUUAGAAUAAUCAACAGGAUUACUAGACCAUACCUCUUAUGGAGUCUUUUUCUCAAUGGCAAUAGACGGAGACUAAUUAAUCAAAAAGCAUGCAGUAGAGGUCGCUUUAGGCCAAAACGACUUCGAUAAACAAGAAUUCAACAACAUACAUUGAACCUUUUUCAAUAUUGUUCUAUUCAUCUGUUUUACAACGCCAUUUUGCUAUGGAGCAUGACGAACUGUCAAGUGUCUCACGAUCCUUUCUGAUUUGCACAAUUCAUUAAACUCAUCAUAACAGAAUUCCAAGUCAUUAUAUGUACGGAGGUGUUUUAUCUGUUCUCCUGCCUGUUUCUUGAUCAUAUUUUUCGAAGCCUUAAAAGAGGAAAACACAUCACUUUUCUGCUUAAAAAAGAAUACCCAAAAUUUUCUAGAAAAAUCAUUAAUGACCGUCAGCAUAUAAUUAGCGUCACACCUUGAAGGCACUCUUAAUGGUCCCCAAAGAUCAAAAUGAAUGUAAUCCAACAUUCCUUUUGUGUUAUGGAUUCCUCUAGUGAAUUGAACUUUCUUUUACUUCCUAAAAAUGCAGUGUUCACAAAAAUUCAGUUUGCAAAUGCCUUGUCCAUCAAGAAGUCCUAUUUUGCUUAAUUUUGUUAUGUUGUUCUCACUCAUAUGCCCUAAACGCAUAUGCUAAAGUCUAGUAAUAUCAUCAUCUGAUAAGGAAGAGGAAGCAACGGUUGCAUCACCAGUAACAAUAGAACAUUGCAAAACAUAAAACUUGAUAGUCUUUCUCUGCUCUUUCAUCGCAAUGAGGGAACCCUUGCUAAUCUUUAGAACCCCACUUUCAUUUGUGUACUUGUGCCCUUUUGAAUCAAGAAUACUCAAAUAAAUCAAAUGCAUCUUCAAUUCUAGUACUUGUCGUACACCACUAAGUGUUCUGACGAUUCCAUCGAACAUCUUAAUUUUGAUCAUGUCAAUACCUGUGAUUUUACAUGAAGUAUUAUUUCCCAUCAAAAUAACACCUUUAGACACUGUUUCAUAUAUUGUAAACCAAUCCCAAUUAGGACUCAUACGAAAGGUGUAACCAAAAUCGAAGAUCCACUCCUCGCUCGCUUUCGAGUUGUCGGUAGAAGCAACUAGGAGUUCACCAUCGCUAUAGUCUUCUACAACAUCAGCUUCACUGGAUUGUUCUGGUUGUUUUCCUUAUUGAUUCACAACCUCCCUUUUGAUCUUGUCUAUAACUUAUAGCACUAAGAUUUAAUGCGUCUUUUCUUCUUACAGAAGUUACAAGUUUUACAUCUGUUUGAAAAUAUCAAUCUACCUUUAGAUUUACUACGAGGAUUUCAUUCUUGUGUCCUUUCAUGAUUAUCAUCAAUAUUUCGUUCUUAUCUCCCAGAACAAUGAGACCCUCUCCUUGAGAGUAGGAUCCAACCACAAGGUGUUUCAUCUUGUCAUACGAGGUUAAAAAAGUAUAGACUUCAUCAACUGUGAGAGAUUCGUGACCAUACAAAAUUGUAUCUCUAAAGGUUGAAUAAGACAGGGGCAAUGAACAAAGUAGAAUUAACCCUAAAUCUUCUUUAUCAUACUGAACCUCUAUGGCCUCUAGGUCUACGAGAAUUUCUUUAAACAUAAUUAAGUGUUCGUAUACAUAUGCACCUUCCUCCAAACGAUGAGCAUAAAGACAUUAUUUCAUAUGCAACUUGCUAGUUUGGGUUUUCGACAUGAAAAGUUGCUGCAACUUUGCCCAUAUUGUAGUGGCGGUCUUCUCCUCAUCAUGUCCUAUAGAAUUGCAUUCAGUAAAUGCAAAUGUAAUUGCGUUAAAGCCUUUCGAUCUUUAUGCUUCUUCUCUUCCUCCGUCAAUGUCGAAAGCAUCUUACUCAUCCCUAUCAGGGCAUCCUCUAAAUCUAUCAACGCAAGAAUUGUCUGCAUCUUUAUCUGUCACAACGGGAAUCUAGUAUUGUGAUCCAACAACGGAAUAUCAUACUUCAGUGUUGCCAUUACCAUGAUCGAGAUAAGCAACCUGAAAAGCUUGAUACCAGUUUGUAAAAACUGAACGUCGAUAAUGGCAAUAUAGAACGAUCGUAAAGCAAAAAAAAUAUAAGAACGCACAGAUUUUACGCGAAAACCCUUUCAGAAAAAAAACCACGGGCAGAAGAGAAGAAAAUUCACUAAUGUUGAAAUUCGAGUGAUACAAGAAGAGUUUCAACUACUUCUAUUUAUAGGUUGAAAAGCAUUAUUCUAAUCAAUGUCAAAUAGAAGGAGAGAAGUUCUAUAUGGAUUCUACUUGUACAAUCAAUAUCAAAUAAAAGAAGAGUAGUUAUAUACGAAUUCUACUUGUAUUUUAUUUUUUAAUAGGAAUUUUGGUAACACAACUCUAACAGGCAAAGUAAGGGAUUUCAAGAGGAAGAAAUGUUUAGAUGAGUCUUUGUGAGUUGUUUGUAUGGCCUUUUUAUAAGAGGGGACAAAUUUGGAUACAUGUCCUAAGGUCACUGACAUAGAAGUCUGAUUUGAUACUCUUGGCAGUGACAGUGAUUCUACGUCCUAGGAUGAGACAUUUUAGGCUUACUAACAAUCAAUUACCUUGGGCCUCCACGUGGUUCUCAUAUAGUCUUAGUGAAGAUGUCCUUUUUUAAAGUUCGCCGAGUUGAGGCUCGCAAACUAAUAUGGAUGAACUGUGAGGUCCACAAGGUAUUUUGGGAGGUCCGCAAGAUUCGCUACAUAAGCUAUACUAAAAAAAAUUAUAUAUCAAAAUAUGAAACAAAAAAUUAUUGCCGACCUUCUUUAAGAAUUGCGUAAUUAUUUACAAAAGAAUAAAAAUAAUUAAUUUUUUUCUCAAAAAAAGAAUUUUUAGGAUUUGUUUGGUAAGGUUUGUUUCACAAAAUUCUGAAAAUUGUGUAAAAACAGAAAUUUCUAAGAUAAUGGAAAUAUAUUUUGUUGUUUAAUUAUUUUCUUAAAGAUCUAUAUUAAUUCUUUUCAGAUAAUACUAUUAACGUAAAUAUUAAAUGUUAAUUAUUAAAGUGUUUAUUGACAAAAAAAAUUGAUAUUUUAAUAUUAUCAUCAGGGGCGACGCGGGAGCUGACUAGCAAGUGAUUUGAUCUCUUUAAAGUGAAAAAUUGUAGGUUUGACCUUUUAAAUUUUAUAAAAUUAUAAGUUAAUACACGUUAAAAUUUUAUUUUGACCUUUUAAAAUGAUAAAUUUUUAAUUUAAUCUUUUAAAAAUUAUAAGGCUAAGAACUAAUAAAAUAAUAAAAUAAUAUUUUAAUUGUCAUAAAAAUUUAUAACUUAACUUAAUUUUAUCUCAUAUUUUAUGCAUUUUCUAUAAAUUUAAAGAGAUGAUGUAUGAAUAAAACAAUUUCAAGGUUAUUAUCAUCUUUCAAAGAAUACGGUAGGACUAAUAAAGAAAUUAUUAUUAUUAGUAGUAGUAGUAGUAGUAAAGGAAGAAUCUAAGUCUUCUUUACAUCAUGGCCGUAAUGGAAGCUUAAGAGUCAUAAAGAAAUGUUAGGUGAAGUUGCAUGUUGAUGUUGGCACAUAAAAAGUAAAAGUAGAUAAUAGAAAGUUACAUAUAUUGAAGUUGUAACAUUUCAGCCGAUUACAUGAAAUGAAAGGGCCGCCUUGUAAGACCCUUUCUUUUUAUUAUUCAUCCUCUAAACCCUAAUCUUUCAGUACCUCAACGAUCAACAACAAAAUCCAUGGCGGACAUAGCUCUGCAACUCUUUUUAUUACUUCCUACUUACGUUACCCUACAAAGAUCCCCCUGAUUUUGAUUGCAUUGGCUUCGGCUGGAGUUUAAGCAUCGGCCCUCCUCUCGGACUGUGAAGGAGUGAAGAAAAAGGUGUUUUUGUUGUUGAACUUAAUCCGCCUUGCAUCUUCUCUUGACACCUGAUACGACGCUGCCACCACUUCCUCCGGCAGUGCUCGCAUGAAGGAGACACUUCCAGCCAUUGGGGUGUUGGUGGCUUCGCUAUUGGUGAAGAAGGAAAUCCAUUCGGCUCCUUCGUUUCCUGCUUGUUUCAUGAACGCAAAGUUCUGUGGCACCGUCAGGAGCUGACCUUGCUCCACGUUAUCGUCGAACACUGCGUCGCCGUUGUGGUUCACCACUUGGACUCUGGCACAGCCUCUUAACAUGUAGAGUAUUUUGUGAGCGUUGACGUUCCAUUGUGGAAUCAAACCAGCUCUCUGCAAAAACAAAUGUUACAUACAGUGUUAUAUAUGAUUCAAUAUUUUAUUGAAUAUUGUUAAGAAAUAAAUGUCUCGAGCUUACGUUGUAGAGGACACCCCUCUCGGCGCUGAGCUCAAGUCGUUGGAGGAUGGGGAGGUUAAACCUGUUGAGGGUGGAAAUACGACCGGCUUGUGGGUUGAAAAUGUCGGCACGUUCAGGGUCAGCAAGGUUCUCCUUGAUCCUCAUGGAGCAGAAAGUUUCCUCGAGGCCAUUAUCUUGAGACCCUCCUCUCGUAUGGCGGUAUCGCUGCUCCUGCUGGCGCUCCUCACGUUCUUCUUCCUCCAUUCUGGGUGGUGUUACGACUUGGAGUCUGUCCCUGACUCUGAUGAUGGUGCCUCUAUUUCCUCGUACACGUUGGAUUUUCCUAAUGAUGUCGUGGUCAACGUUGAAAGCUUGAGCGAGGAAGUUUCUGUCGAAGGCACAGAGAAGGUUGUUGCAUGAUGAGCUUUCCCGCCCCUGCUCCUCCUCCUCCUGGUGGCGGCUGCGGCGGCUGGGGUUGUCUUCUUCUUCUUCUUCUCCUUCUCCUUCUUCUUCCUCAGACUCCUCCCCCCUCUCACUUCUUCCCUGCAUCUGCUGUGCUAGCCUCCUCAGUUGCCUCUGUUCCUCUUCUGGGUUACCAGCAAGAUGGAAUCUCUAUAACAUUACAAGAGAGAGAUCAUCAAAAACAAAAACAAAAAGUUAUGUAUAGAAAGGGAUUGUCAAAAUUAUAAAAAAUUAUAUACUCUAGGGAUGUUGUCGAGCUGAUUAGCACUGUUGCCAGUGUCAAGUAGAUUGAUAGUAACAACACGCUCAUUGCCAUCAUUGUAGCUCCAGUGAACCACACCCUGCGGCAAAGCAAUGAUGUCACCCUGGCGGAACCGUCGGACUUUCUGGUGCUGGUCCUGGAACCUGCCACGGCUUUGAUGCUGCCAUUGCUGUGAAUCCUGGAAUGUUUCGGCACAUCCAGGCAUCACAAUACCUUGAAUACCUCUUCCUGAAAAAACAAAUUUAAACAUCAUUUUGUAUUUUAUACCAACGAUAAUAACACCAUUAGUGACGCACUAUUAUACCUUGGACAAUGUAGAGAAGCUGAGGAGCAUUGGUGAAGGAAGGCAAAACAAGGCCAUUAGGUUCAAUAGUCUGCCUCAUUACAGAUACACCAGCACACCUGAGCUGUUGACAGUUGGGGUUCCACCACUCGGUGGUGCCGGCUUCGGAGCGAAUUCGGGUCUGGGGUGCAGAGGCGCGGAGCCUAUUGAUUUGACACUCAUUUUGGGACUGCUGUGACGAAAAGGUCUGGCGAGCUAGGCAGCCAUUGAAGAGAAAAAGAAGGGAAAGAAAGAGCAAAGAAGGGUUAAUCGCCAUAUCUACGUGUUGAAAUGGUUAUUUGGUGAAGAAGGGAGUGGAGGGAUAGUGGUAUUUAUAGGGGAGAAAGAGUGGAAAAGGAGGUCAGGGUUGUGUCGACACACAGCAGUUUGCAUGGGGGAGUUGAGGUUAAUGGCUUACACAUCAUAGACUGGGGGAGGGCAGGUGGCUCAAAGCUUCGAUGAAUACUUACAAAUAACAAUACCAGGAAAUGAAGAAGAAUCCGAAACCACGAUAUGUCGCCAGAUGAGAUUGGUUAAGGAGAGAGUCUUGAAUUUUGGUUACACUAAUCAAACCAAAAUGAUUCAUCAAUUUAUUAAUUAAGCGUUCAAGAGUUCUUUAAAACAUGAUUCAUUAUAUUAUGAUUUUAUUUAAAUUUCCAUUUUCGUUUAAAAAACAUUAAUUGAUUUUAUUGUUAAAAAUAUAUAUUUCUCCUCGUUAACUUGUACUUACUACAUAUAUUAAGAGUUUAAAUGAGAUCAUUUUAGUCUCACCAAAAAUCCAUUCAUUUCACAAAACAAUAAAUUUUAUUUUUACAGUAUUUAUAUAUUUUUAUAUUUUAAUUUGACCCUAAAUAUCAUUAAAUUAUAUUUAAUUUUUAACUUUUUACUAAUCUACAAUAAUAUAAAAAAGUGUCAAAAUUAUUUUAAUAACAACUAAAAAGGGUAAGGAGAGUGAAAAUGUGGUGUGGAGGCAGGACGUGAAGAACCUACGCAGGGAAUUACUUGUUUGUUUGUGAACUGUGAUGGUGUUGCGACAACUGGGCCGUAGCAUGUUAUACCUCUUGCCAUCUGUUUAAGCCAAGUUGUACUACAUUCUAUACGGUCGUACAUUAUUCCGAUAAUUGCAAUUUUUACGAUAUAAAAUAUAACUGAUGAGAACAAAAAUAAGUCAAACAACUAUAGUAGUGGUGGAAAGGGUAAUUUUAGAAUUCUAUUUUUUUGAUAUUCAAGUCCGUAAAUAUUAUUGUUUAAUAUAUAUGAGGUUAAUAUAAAAGUUAAUUAAAUUUUGGUAUCUUAAUUUUAUCAAAUUAAUAGUUAAUUAGGAUACAAAAAUUAAAUUGUAAAAAUUCAUUGUUAUAAAUUUUUAAUUAAUCAAAACACCAAUUGAGCAAUUGAACUACUAUUAUAUGACCAAACGGUGGUAGAUUCUAAGUGUUAUCCACUAAGAAAUGUUAAUUAUGCUUAAGGUUCAUUAAUUUAAAGUUAAUUUUAAUUAAUUAAUUAAUUAAGUGCACAAAAUGAAUGCAUUGAAGUGUAAGCUUAAAAUAGGUAUCAAAUGGCCUAAAAUGUACCAAAAAUAGAGUCCACAUUGCGACUUCAGCAAUGGAGCUCUGGAUUUCAGACCACGACGUGAUGAGGAACAUCGUCGUCACAACGAUGCCAAGUUAGUAUGUAACGUCGCGACGAGGAACCCCCUCAUGUCGCGACGUCAAUCCAAAAUUUUUAAAACUUUUACAAAUCGUUUCUUGUUUGAUUCCAGGCUAAUUUUAGAGCAUACGUAAGCUUGUACAAGACCCGAGAAAAGUUGUAUAUCAUGUUUAUGGCUUGAAAAUGUUAUGUUUGUAUGCAUUAAGCUGUGAAUUGAAAGUUAAAUGUUUGUAGUUGCUUCGACAAUGAAUGUGACAUCCUAUAGCUCGGAUCCAGUGAUCAGGUCGGAUGAGGUGUGUUACAAUUUGUUACUAUUUUUUAACUCUAUCAUUGUUCAUAUUCUUCUUCCUUAACCCAUUUUUUUCUCCACAUCACCCUGCUUCCCAAAUUGAGUAACUCUACUUAAAUGAAUUGAGGAAUAGAUUUAGCGAAUAUUUUGUGAAGCAGGAGUGUGGGAGGGUGGCGUGGAGAAGAAAAAAGAUUAAAUGCUAAAUUGGGAUCUAACUUUUUAAGGGUUGCUUAAAUAAAUGCCAAACCUUUUAACUAUUCAUAUAAGGCAUAAUCAUUAAAAAGUGCUCAAAUAAAGGUUUUCCAUGCACUUCAGUCUUGUUUGUAGUAAAAAUUAGGUGAAUGCUGACAUGUUUAAAAUAAAACACAUUACAACUGAAUUUGAUAUUGCUUGAAAAGAAAAUAAAAUAAUAAAAACAUCAACUGAAACCUAAUAUACGACAUUUGAGAAGUCCUUAUUUAAGCACUUUCGAAAAAAUUUGGCCUUUAUUUGAUUGUUUUGAAAGGUUUAACCUUCAUUUGGACGCUUUUUGUAAAUGUUAGGUCCUUAUAUAAGCAAUGUCUAAAAGGUUGGGCCCCAAUUUUAGCAAAAAAAAAAGGGUUAAGGAAGAGCAGGAUGAACAGUGGCAGGGUUAGAAUAGUAAAAAAUGAUGGCAUGGGCACAAUCAAUCGUUUUUAGAGGUUUCUUGGGUGAUUAAAAUGAAAGUACUCUCUAAUGGUGGUGAUUAAAUUGCAAGAAUUUUUAUUUAGGUGACAAAAAUAAAAGUGGCCUAAAAGUUGAGUUAUCAGCUAAGUAGUUUACCCUAAAUUUUAAAAAAAAAUUAACUUUUUGAAUAAUUUAUGUAUUAUAUAUGUUUUCUUUAUUUUCCAAUCAAUAUAAUAUACAUAAUAUUAAAAUUAAAAAAAAAACUGAUGCGGGGCAUUUUGAUAGUGUCACAUGUCAUCUUCUUUUUUCUUUCUAAUGUUGUAGGCCAAUUUAAGUAAUAGAUGAUGGUUUGAGUAUUAAAGAAAGCCCAAAAAAAAUUUAAAUAUUAAAAUGAGAAAAUAAAUAUAAUAGACGAAAGGAUGCAUUAAACAUUUUAAUAUAUUUUAUUAUGUUAUUUCCUCACGUUUUAAAUUAUUUUUAUUAUCCCCGUGAAUAGUUAGUUUUACCUAUCUAACCUUUUUUUUAGAUUUAAAAAUAAUAAUAAUUUAUUUAUUUUAAAUAUUAUUAUUUUUUAAAAAGUUUACAACUAAAAAUAAAAUUAAUCAUAAUUCAAUCACAAAUAUAUGCAAAAUCAAACAAUAAAAAACAUAAAAAGACUAGGAAUCAAAAUAAUUCGAACUAAAAUUAACCCUCUAAAUUAAAACUUACACAUAUUAAAAUUAAAGACCUACAAAUAAUAUUACUUGAAUUUAGAUACUCAAAUAUCUAAAACCUAGUCUUUGCGAAUGGUACUAAAGCUUCACAAUUAUUAUUAUUUAAAAUAAAAAUUGUAAAUAUGUUUUAAUAUAUAUAUAUAUAAUUAAUUAAUUAAUGUUUGAUGUAAAGUACAGAAAUCUAAGUUAUUUAUUAUUAUUGAAAGUGAAAAGGUCAAAUUACACUGGAAUCAAAAUUUAACUUUUGGAAUUUAAAUUAAAAUAGAUACCGUCCACGGUGGGACUCGAACCCACAAUCUCCCGCUCCGGAGGCGAGCGCCUUAUCCAUUAGGCCACGCGAAACCUUGUUCUAUGAGGGUUGAAUUUAUUAUUUAAAAUAAUAAACAUUGCGUAUACGUAUAUUUGUCAAGGUAAUCAGGUUUAGAUUCCAUAUUAGCCCUAUUAAGAUACGAGGUUGAAAUAUAACUAAAAAAUAUAUUUUUAUUAAAGAGUCACUUUCGAACAAUGUGCAUGUAUCUCAAUAACUACUAUUUAUGAAAUUUAAAAACUCAUUAUCAAUACUUUAUGAUUUUAAAGGGAUAGAAUUAUAAUGUAAAAGGGGAGAAUCUCAAUUAUUAAUGCACUUCCAAGAGGAAAAUCAUUGAAUUAUAAUGUACUUGGGACUUUUAUUUUUUGUUUGGUUGUCAUCAUUGCAGUGUUAGUUGAUUUCUAGUUAAAUAUCCAAUUAAACUAUACAACUUGACAGUACAAAGCAAUGAGGACUGCAAACAAAUACAUGUAAUUAUGUUAUCCAGAUUUACCAUCUUCUUUAAAAUAUAUAUAUAUAUAUAUAUAAACCCUCUAAAAAGGAAUUUUAAGGACUUGAUUGUUAAAAUAUUCAAUAACUUUUCAUGUAUAAUCCCAAAAUUGUUUAAAUCUCUAAGACAAAAGGGUUUACACCAUUUCUUUCCCAUAGAAGAGAGGUUGAUGCUAAUGUAUAAAGAUCAAUGUAGCAUCUUUUACAAGAUAUAUUUCAAAUUCUGAAUACAUGUCUACCCAUGUUUGAUUUAAUACUCCAUGAACAAAUCUGAAGCUGAACUGGUGGAUGAAUACCAUCUGUAAGUUCUAUAGGAAUUCAUAGUCUUCUGUUGUCUACACCGAUAUAAUGGUUUGUUUAUUGUUCUCCAGCCUCUGGGAUUAAAAAGUUUAACAGAAAAGAAUUGGCUAAAAAUGUGUUGUAUGAAUUGCAAAGGUGAGACUAUUUGGUAUUGAUGUUACCCUGUAAAGCUAAGAAGGACCCAAGGAAGAACUCUGCAUGAUAUAUGAAAGAAUGUCAGGACACCAACCGAAAAAAUAAAUUUGUUGGAGAUGCAGCUCCUUGAUUUGUUUGUAAUGCCCGCUAAUGUCAGAACAAGCUUAUGGGGUUACAGAUGAACACCUGGGGCAACAAAAAUUAAAAGAUAAGAUUCAACAGCAGAAUCGAUAACUAAUAAAGAUCACCACCCAUUUCCCAAAUUGCUAUGUAAUUUAAUACUCGAGUUUUCAAUGAGCGUAACAGAAGAACUGAAGAUAUUUAGAUACAGAAUUUUCACAAAAAAUGAGGCAGAAUGAUGUCAUGUGAUAACACAAGGGAAUAUGCAAAUUUAUGUUACGUUGAUUCGGGUGUUUGUGUCAAAUACAAGCAUGUGCUUGGUAUGUGUAUGUUUUAAUUCUUUCAUUUAUUUGGAAGGUCCUAAGAUCAUAUUCCUAUAUUUAUGUUUGAAUAUGUGUUAGGCACAAAUACUUUAAAAGAAUGAAGAACCAGAGUAUGAUAUACAGUGCAAAAAGACAGAUACGAUAGUCACUGCAUCUGGGGAUUCCAUGACUCUGUAUGUUUACUUCUUUAUGUGGCUUUUGGAAUAAGAAACUACACUAAUAAAGUUAUCAACAAUUUGAAACAAAAAAUGUAUAUAUGAGAACAUUGAAUAACCAGCAUGUUUCAACCUUUCAUUUGAACUUAUAUGAUAAUGAUAAAGCAAAUCACUUUUGUAUGCCAACUCUAAAUCAAGUGCACAGUAGAGUAAUAUUAACAAAGUUAUCAAACUGUGGAUCCAAAUUUUCCUCAACAGGAAGCAUGUGAACUUGAGCUGAAGGCAAAAAUAUAGCAAUAAAGGUGACCGAGUCAAAGCACAUCAUAAAGAAUUAGUACUGUCAAAGAGGGAACUAUAGCAAUAUAGGAGAGCAUCAGUUAGUAGUAAAAAUAGUAGAACUGAAGCGGUGAAUCUGUUUGUAUUUCCUGAUUCUGCCAUUUGCAAUUUAUUAUCAAGCCUAGAGACCAAUUUACGUUUUAGUUAGAUGGAGAAGAAACAAGAGAUUAGCCUACCUUUAUUCUAUACAUAAUGCAGGAGUGCAUCGGCUGAAGAAUUCCUUAACCUACAGCUCUGUCCCAAAUGAACAUCACCAAAGACAUACCUACAUCACCAUAUAUCAGUGGAAAUCGUAAUAUAACUUGGGAACAGGAGGAAGAGCCAAAAAUAAAAUAAAAAACGGAACCUGUAUUCACAGUAUUCAGGCCAUGCACAUCGAGCUUUUCCGUAGUCCCAGUAACAGUCAUCAUCCCUCAAGGGCCCUCGCUUUGCUAUCAGCAUUGUUAUAAUGAGUAAAACUCAAAUUAAUCUUUGAGAAAAGUAAAACAGUAAACCAUGUUUUACCUUUUGUAACAAAUUUGGAUGGUGAAUCAGCAUGAAUAUCAUGCCAAAUCUGGAGCCAUAACUCUCGCAUUAGAGCUGGUGAUCUAACGAUGUUCCUGUGAUUUGCUACAUGAAGAUGAUAUCAGUUUUACCCACUUGUAAUGAUAAGAAGGCUGAUGUCAAAGAACAUUAGUUAGCAUUGUUAACUCAAUUUUCUUGUAAAAGAAAAUAAGGAAAAAUUGAAAGAGUGCAACUUAAUAUGGAGAACACAUUAGUUAGAAAUGGUUUAAAUAACGCUCCUCAACAUAGAGAUACGGAGAAUGCAAAGUAAACAAGCUAAGCAGCUAAACCAUGAAUGAUAGACAAGCUUUUGAAUUAUUUGAUUGUCCUUUAGCAAGAAUCUGAAAGAGGAGCUCCCCAAUUAACAUCACUCUGAUUUUUAUAGAUUAUGCUGGAAGUAAAUCAGCUGAAAGAAAUUUAUCCAAAACCAUAGAGAACCACUUUCAUUAAAAUCCCUAACUGGAUAACAGCACAUAAUCACAACAACCAUAAUGCCGGGCUAUUUAAGAUUCUUAAAAAGCAUAGUAGCAAUGCAAUUAAGUUCAACAUGAUUUGAAAUCGUACUACUAUAUAAGCCAUUUACUGAGAAAAGAAUUAAAAGGUAUUGUCACCCACCUUUAUCAAGCUCCCAAACUGCUGUCCUCUUUCCUGGAAUGCUUUCCGAGUCUUCAUAGUAAGUUAUGUAUUUGACUCUAGGUGACCUUGUCAUGUUGGGGACUACAUCUUCAUUAUGAUGCUCAACAUUCAACUCCACUUGUACAUCUGACCCAUCAUGCUCCGACUACAAUAUACAUGAGAAAGUUUUACUAUUUCAAACUCCCAAUAGUUAUGUCAUAUUUCAGAUAUGGAUUACAAAACCAUAGCAGACAUACUCCUUUUUAUUAUAUCAGAUGGAUAGUGUUCAUAUGUUUUACCUAUUUGCUGCACGAAUGAAAUACUCUAUUUUAUUAUAUAAAGGGAUUGAGAGAAACAUGCAACAAACUAUGUUAUACAGCUCAUAAAUCAAAUAGCUCAUCAAACUAACCACAAAAAAGAAAAAAAAGCAAUCUGAUAUAUGUGAUGUGUUAAAUAUCCAGAAGAUUGAAAGCUUUUCAAUAUCAUCAUCAUAAUAAACAUAUCAAGGCACUUGCAUUUGACCAAGAAUACCUGUGGAGCUCUUGUUAUGUUCACUCUGGGCCCAAGCCAGUUCUUGCACCAAGAUAGGGAAUGAUAUGGUACCUGUCACAAUUAUGUAAGUGUUAGACCAGUAACUAUAAAACUCAGAUCAGUGAUUGUAAUCCAGUAACAAAGAUUCUUGAUGCAUUUGAAGAAUGAAAUAGAAUGAUAUAAGGGUCACUGAGCUCACUGUCUCAUCACCACUUGCAGGUCCUGGAUUUCCUUCAACCUGAUUCCCUGACCUACAAGAACAAGUGCUACGCUAUUUAAAAGUAGAAUCUAAUGAGAUCAAAUCAUCUUUCAAUAUUUAUUACUGCAGCCACUGCUUUACCUCGUUUACAACAAAUAAUAGUUACUGUUAGAGCUGUUUUAGUUCUAAACAUAGGGAAGAGAUAUGAUUUAGGCAUAAAUGCAGUUAAACAGAUUAACUGAUCCAGUGUGGAUGAUGCUUACCGCGAGACCAGUGAUCCUUCAAUUUCAUAGAUGACAUCAGUAAUUAUCCAAUUAUCAGGGUAAGGUUUGCCGCUUGGUGCAAAAUAAUAACCAACCUGCUCGCAUUAUCAUUCAACACGAUAUCAUCAUAAAAAUUAACCACAAUGAGUAAUAGAAAAGCAAUAACGAUGUGUAACAACUAUAGUGCUAUUCCCAUUUUGUCAGUUAUUCAAACAGCUCUUAAGGGGUUCCUAAUGCAUGACAAUAGUCUCAAACAUGAACAAGAUAAUUAGAAUUUAUAUUCAAAAUUUAACCAUACCUCAGUCCUAGAAUCUACUCCAUAGAUACAGAAAACAUUCUUAAUAGGUGGUCUAUCCCAUGGUGUAAGAGGAUUCAGAACAGGAUCAUCAUGAUAUGACCUGAAAAAUACAACAUAGAAAUAAAGCCAAGUCAAAAUAAAGAAGUCUAAGUUACAUGGUUUGUAUUAAUUAAACUUCCAGGAAAAUCAUUAUUCAAACCAAUAGAAGAAAGUACUAUGAUAAAUUACAAUUAAAAAUAGAAAUUUCAGUUUGUCAAGUAUCAGCCAACAAUGAGAAACAACCACAGACUCUGAAAGAAAACAUGUUGAAAGCAUCUUGACUGGUCUUCAGUGCAAGCAGAUGGGAAUUGAUGAAAGUCCAUUUAACAUUAAUAACUUAUGACAACUGUCAAGCCUGCUUAUGUGAUAGUUCCAUGAAAAAACCACAAUCAUCGCAUCUCCAUAUAAUUUUAAUUAGUACACGUGAUUCAUGUUCAAGAUGAAAUCACUUAGUAUUAGUAUGUCAACAAUCGACAAACAUUAAGAAGAUAUCAGAGUCAGAGAUUGUUAAAUUAUUUGAAAGUAUCAUAGCUAGUAUAAAAUACAUUUAAACCAUGCCUAAACACUUCUUCUGUAGCUCCACAUGAUCUUUUAAAGCAAAAAUGCAGCUCAAGACUCUCAAUAACGAGAUUUGGGAUGAAAAGCCACUUCAUAUAUCAAAACUAGCACCUACAACAUGGGACUGCAUGCAUGAUACACUAGGUGCCAUUUAAGUAAAAUUUAUGCUGAAAGAAGAUUUAAGACCCGACAACUAGAGUUAUAAGGCUUCUAUUAUGAAAUGUUCACCACAGGCAAUAAAGUUGACAGACAUCAUUCUUAUAAUCAAUUACGUCUAUAUCACCAAAUAAUGACCUAGAAAAAGGUAAAUCAUAAUUUUCUCAAAUGGCAUAAAGUUGUGAGAAUACCCACUUCUUCAGUUGGUGCAAGGUCCUCUUGCUAUCUGAAUCAUAGUCCUCUAUUGCUUUGAAAAAGGUCCCAUCUGAUAUUUCACGAGCUGAAAAUGACAACUGUGUUGGGAGUCCACAUUCCAUGCUAGAGUAGUUGGUCUGGGAAAACUCUGAAACUGAUGGAUAGGCGUCAAUCCCUGUUAAUAAAAGAGAUUGCUGUGAGCUUUAUAGCAAUUAACUACAUGUCAUAAAAACAAAUAAAUAAAUAAAAGAAUAAUUUAUUCCAAAGCCUUACCACGGGUUGAAGGUAUUUCAAUGUUGAUUAUAUUAGUUGAAAAACCAGAGUAAUUUGACUGAAAUUCCUUUUGCUCACAUUGAUAGGCAUUAGGCCCCUUCCUGAUUCCCCCAGAAAAAUGCUUCAAAUACAUGGCGUCUGCCCUACAAUACUUUGAAAAUGGCAUCAUCCAUAAUGAAGAACCAAAUGAAUUGAACAUCAACCGAGCAGUUCCCUGAUACCUUGCCAAAAUAUAAAGUAAAUAUAUGUUAAAAAUGCACCAUUAUAUAACAAAUAUUUUUAAUUCCUACAUUUUAGGGAGCAAUGGCAGUCAGUAACAGCAGUAAAUUGAUAUAGAUUCCAUCCCAGUAGUGCAACUUAAUGUGAUUCAAUCGAGUUGAGUUAUACAAAAUUGAGGACAUCAGGGCUUACAAAGAAAUUAAGGAAUUCUGUUGCCAAUUUGCUAUUCCUACAUGUGCUGUAAGGAACAUCAAUAACUUAACUGUUCAGCAUAAAUGUUUUUAACAUCUUGAAUUUUCUCUGGUACUAUUGAAUCAAAGUUUUUCAUAUUGCAUUACUAGACCUGUUUCAUGGAAUCAUGGGAAAUCUUCGGGUAGUUUUAAGACUUCAACAGCAUGUAUCCCAUUGGAAAUCUAUUAUGUUUUCUACAAAAGCUGCCUACAAUUACCUAUCAUUGAAUGUGACAGCAGAUUAAUUUGUUACAAGGUUCUACCAUAAGUUUAAUCUUCAUAUGCUAUUUCCAUAAAGGGGACUAGUUUCAAAAAGCUGUAUGAUAUACUCCAGAGCCAAAAAUCAAGA
Molecule: long non-coding RNA, 47442 nt
Filed under: Gossypium barbadense (sea-island cotton)
Lineage: Eukaryota; Viridiplantae; Streptophyta; Magnoliopsida; Malvales; Malvaceae
Description: long non-coding RNA (GBAR_LNC018292)
Source: RNAcentral